Molecule: long non-coding RNA, 46007 nt
Organism: Marmota monax (woodchuck)
Lineage: Eukaryota; Metazoa; Chordata; Mammalia; Rodentia; Sciuridae
Exons: 41
Source: RefSeq, a predicted model, not a curated record
GGAAGGGAAAGGAGGGAGUGCUGUGCCUGUCCCUCUCCUUGACUCCUGGACACCUGCCCAGGGACACCUACAGCCCCAGCUCUCUGGGCUGCAAAGCGGUCUCAGGUGAAGACCCCUGUCACUUGGGCCUCCUUGUAGGCAACACUAGAGCCACUUGAAUGUGAGGGACACAGCCAUGAGUCUUAGGGUCUAAGUGGCCUUAGCCUGCUGGUGGCAUGGGUGGGAGUCAAGCCGUGGGAUGGGGCUGGGCACAGAAGAACACCACGAGGGCCAAGGAUUGUUGUUCAUUUAUUUUGUUAAACAAAUGUCAAGGUCAAGAUGUGCCAAGGCUUGGAAUUUGUCUUAAUUUCCCUAGAAGGGACCAGGGGUUUGAAGGGUCACUCUUUUUAUUCAACUCCCUGGGUGGAGUGGGACAGGAGGGUGGUGGGACUCUCAGGGGAACUUCCCAUAAAGUAUGUGGUGAGGACCCAUGGACCGGGGAGCCUGGAGGGCCAGCCAGGCUGACAUGACACAUGCUGGGGUCCCUCCUGCUGGGGUCUCUGCCUUGCCUGCAUGACCCUGACUUGUGGCUAAGGACAGCUUGGGCCUUCACACCUUCCAGGGUCUUCUGAGAGGUCCCCCACUCCUCAUCUCCUUAUGCCAUUGAGUGGAAGGGCAGUGCCCUUGACCCAACAGUGUUCCUGAGGCUUCAGCCCUGCCCCUCCACACUUGACUGGCAGCUCCAGGGGGCAGCUGGAUCACUCUGCCCAGAAUAACCCUGGGCGGGGGGAGGCAGUCAUGUGUGCCCCUCCUCUGCAAGCUGCCCAAAUCGCGCAGCCAAUCAGCUGCUCCUGAGCCUGCGCUUGCCUUUCAAGGCAAGCGGGCAGCGACGGCCCUGUGAGCAGCAGGUCUGCAUGACUUUCCUUUUGACCUUUUCCUCCCAGGCCUCAGUUUCCCCUGUUCAAUGGGGAAAUGGGCAUUGAUCUUCUCCUUUGUAUCUGUAGCUCUGGGACUCCUGAGAGGUGGUUUAUGGUGUCCCCUGGGGAACAGUGCAGGUGUGGGAGGGGCUGUCUGAACAGAUGGGGCUCAGGGACCCCAGCCCCUGCCUCGAUUCUACCAGCUACUCCAAUAAAUUGGGGUCCUCAGACUAUUUCAUUUGAACAGUGCCCUGGGCUGUGGCUGAGAGCACAGACAGCUGUUUCUGGUAGCAUCUGUCUCGACUUCACAGCUGUUCUGUCUCUGGUGGGCUCCCUGCUUGGCCUGUGUCCUCCUGGCCAUGUGGAUGUACCUGAGUGGUAGGAGGCUUGGGGUGUGGCACUUCUCAGAAUUGGAAAGUGGUGAUUUCAAUGCACAGAGGAGGCCCAGGCCCUUGGGACGGACAGUGGAAUUAGAGCCAGUGCGGAGGCAGAGGCUGGAUGACCCUGCAGAGCCUCAGUUUCCUCAUUUACAAGAUGCAGGAGCACCUCCUUCCCACCUCAUGUUCUUAUCAUUAGGAUUCAUGACUGCUGCUUUUAGAACACCCACUGCAGUGUGAGGCCACGAUUCAGAGCAUUUCACGCAUGGCGGGGCGGGCGUGGGCUUUGAUUCUCCCAUUAGCUCCCGAGGGAAGGAGGCCCAGCUUUGAAAGUGGGUAAUUGGGAGUCCAGAGGGUGGCCUAACUGCUCAGCCUGUGGACCCAGGCCACUGGACACCCCUAUCCGUACUGGGGACAGUGGCCAACCUGUGCUGGUGAGGGAUGGGAUACGGACUUGCAGAAAACAGGUUUGCUCCUUAUGGUGGGGAAUGGUCCUCAAUUCUGUAAAGUCAAGCUGAGGCUUAGAGGGCUUGGUGCUGCCCCCAGGCUCUAGAAAGGAGCUUCAGAGGCAGAGCUGGAGGUAGAGUUCAGAGCCAGGUCACUCCCCUGCCCCAGCAAAUGGCGCAGCCCUGGGCAGACACCCAGGGUGGGGUCAGCUGCUGCCAUUUGGGGACCUGGAGGGGGCCUCGUGACUGCAGAGGCUGCCUUCAUGCCAUGGAGCUGAUGCAGCAGCCUCGUGGCCUGACGGGCUGCCAGGUCGCAGAAGUGGGGGCCUCGGUGUCUGCCUCCAUCUCCCCAAAAGGCUUGUGCUCUCAUUCCCAACUCAUCUUGGCUUAUUUGGUAUCGGCAGAGGGGCAGGACAGCUGGCUGAGGACCUUCUAAUUAUAGCGGCUCAAGUAUUUGAACAGAGGUAUUGAGUACCUCGACCAUGUCCUGCUUUUUUGUACAAAUAACUCUUUAACCUUUCGUCUGAAGCACGGCCACACCCUGUUUAUUACCCAGGCAGCCCACCUCCUCCCUCCCAGGGCCCUGGCAGAGGCCAGCAUGGGACCUCUACCCCCAGUCUUACCUUGGCUGCGAGGGUCCAAGUGGAUCUCCUCUUGUCCCGCUGGCCUCGAAGCAAGCUUCUCUCUAAAAGGUUUUUGGAAAAAUGCAUCUUCUUAGCAUUGAAGGUCCAGUCUUCUGGACACACAUGCCUUUUCCACAGUAGCGGGCCAGCGGCACUUAGAGACCCAACUUUUCUCUCUAACGAAUACAGUCUGUGGCCUGGGCCUUGUGGGACCCUGAGCCAAUCUCUCAGGUCCUGAGCUCCCCCUUCUCUUCCUCCACCUUCUGGGCCCUGUCCCCUGGUGUCAGUCUGGGUUUGUUGUCCCUACUCUCAUCCUCCCCUGCACAUAGUAGGGCUGAUGGCAGCAAGCAAGGCCUGGGGCAAUGACUCAGGGAGGCAGGAGGGCCCUAUCCAUCACACCUGGUCAGCAAUCUCUCUUCUUCCUCUCAGGUGGCCUGGAGGUGAGAUGGCUGCUUUCUCCCCACAGCGAGCAAAUGCCUGGCCCAGGAUCGGAUCAAAAGCUGGGGCUCACUGCCCCCAGUGGGCAGUGAGUCAGCGGGUUCCUGAGGCAGCUCUGUCCUGUCCCAGCAUGGCCACCCUCCUGGCUGACCUUGGAGAAUCAGUAUUCCAGCAUCCACGGCCUGCUAGAAGCCCCCAUCUCCACCGUGUGCUGGGUCUGACUUCCCCUUACUGAGACCACGUCAUGUUCUCUUUGGGUCUGAUGGGCAGUGUCAGAGGGUCGUGUUUCCUUUUCUGUGGUGCCGGAUGAGAGGACUUUGAGAAGUCAGUGGCUUGUUCAAGUUCUGCUAGGACACGGGGACCCAGGGUUCCAACCCAGGCUUCCUCUGAAUGGAGUUGCUGGUGAAAUUCCUCACUUGUGUGCUGCCUCUUGGUGUACUGACUAGCUCAGAUGGCCGUGGGACAACAGGACGGUUGUGAGGAUCAAGCAGGAUAAUGUAUGCUAACCCAUGCUGUGAACGCUGCGUGCUGGGUGCAGAGAAUGAUGGAGGCCCCACUUUGGGUGUGAUGCCACUUUACCAACAGUGACCUUGGAGGUGACCUCUGUGGAAAAGUGCCACGGACCAGCCAAUGUGAGUUGUGGCUAGUGCUACUGUUUGGGGCUUGGGUGGUUGGUGGGUGGAUAUUUACUGAAUUAUUAAACCUGAAUGAUGUGUAAGUAAAGUCAAAGGUGACCAUGCACAGGACAGUGAUGAGACUGUCAUGAAUCUAGAGUGAUAAGUCCAAGUAGGCACAACUGUCACCAAAUUAAAAAGAAAAAAAACAUUAGGAUGUUCUCUGUGUAGGAAAUAGCAAAGAAAAAUGGAAUAUGUCUACUUAUAGAUAAAUAAUAUAUAUCAGAUAAUAUGUGAGAUGUAAGUGCUUUUUUUGUUUUGGGGUUAGAUGGUGGGUUCAUGUAUGUUUAUGGACUUAUUAAAAAUAAUGGUUACAUAAAUAAAAUCAGAGGGUCAAGGAUAGAGUAAUGAAGGUCAUAUUUAAUGACUUAUAAACCUUAAGUCAUCUAUAUAAUUCUCCAAAGUUGAGAGGCAUCAGCACAAUAAUGAAUGUUUUCAUUUACUUUAUUAGCAUUUUACUAUUUAUGCACUAUGGUUUAUAUAAACACUUCCUUAUUAGUGAAGUCUGGGAUAUUAUCUGUGAGAGAGGCUCAGUCAGGAAAAAGGUAUCAGUAGUCUUUUGUUUGUUGGGUGUGAUAAUAUGAGUGUUCUUUCAAGGAUUUUAAUUUUAAUUUUUUUAGUAUUGGGGAUUGAACCCAGAGGUGCUUAACCACUGAGCCCCAGCCCCAGCCCUUUUUUAUCUUUUAUUUAGAGACUAAUAAGCAACAUAGUUUGCUUAAUUUGAAAAUUAAGUUGCUUUUUAGUGCUUUGCUAAGUUCCUGAAGCUGGCUUUGAACUUGCAGUCCCCAUGCCUCAGCUUUCUGAGCUGCUGAGAUUAUAGGCAUAUGCCAUUGCACCUUGCUCUUUCAUAAUUUUUUUUCUUUUUUUGCAGUGCUGGAAAUUGAACCCAGGGUCUGAGUACUGCCUAGGUCAGCACUCUACCACUGAGUCAAAUCCCCAGCCCUCUUUCUUGAUUUUUAAGGGAUAAAUAAAUUUGAAAAGGGCUAAGCACAGACCAAGGCUUAUUAAUUCAACUCUAUACAAGUGAGUGCCACUAAAAACAAUCCAGGAUGUUUAGUUUUCUAAUAGCUGCUUCUUGUUGGACAGAAAGGACACAUACUAGUUUAAUCAUGCAUUAUUUAUGAGGGCUUUGACUCUUAUUUGGGUAGGUUAGGUUCGUAAAGAAAAUGUAAGUAAUAGUUGGUGUUUUGAAAUCUUUGGACAGUUGUUCAAAGGUAUUCAGAAAUAAGUAAAUGAAUGAGUGAAGAAAUCAAUGAAGACAUCAAGAGAGAAAGAAAAAUGGGAUAACGAUGAUCAAAUCUUACUUUAGUAAAUUUUCUGUUGUCUUGGUAUCUAGUUUGAACGUGAGUUUAACUUAGAUUAGAAACAGGGCUCAGUCACGGUUAUGGGUUGGAUAUGUGGUGUCCCCCAAAAGCUCACAUGUUAGACAAUGCAGGAAUGUUCAGAGGUGAAAAGAUUAGAUUAUGAGCACUGUAACUUCAUCAGUGGAAUUAACCCACCUAGGUGGAUUGAUUGUGUGGAUUAACUGUAGGCAGGUAGGGUGUAGCUGGAGGAGGUGGGUCACUGGGUGUGACUCUGGGGUAUAUAUUUUGUCCCUGGUGACUGGAGCUCUCUUUGUUUCCUGGUUGUCAUGUCCUGAGCUGCUCGCCUCUGCCUCAACAAUCUGUCAUGAUGUCCUGCCUCACCCUGGACCUGCGGCUAAGGAGUUGUCUGACUAUGGAGUGACCUUGAAAACUGUGAGCCAAAAUCAACUUUUCUACCUUUAAGUGCUCUUGUCAGGUCUUUCGGGUGAUGAAAAGCUGACUAAAACAUUCACCCUGACAGUUUCCCAUGUCCCACCUCCUUGCCAUUCCUCGGGGUCUUCCCUGUACAAGUACCUCCUGGCGGCACUGCCCACCUGACUCUCCCACUCACUGACACCCUGUGUAUAGACCAUGAGCACAUGGCGACUGCUCUCAACUGCCAGGUGAACUGUUGGCUCUCCAAGGCAGGCUGCCUUCUGGUAUUUCCUGUUCUGUAGAGUUGCUACCUGCGUGUUUCACCUGACUAAUGCCCGAAGCUUACUUUGGUCCAUGUCGGGGCUGUCCUGGAGAAUGGCUGACUUGGUAGGAAUAAACUGGGUACAGAACCGAGCCACAGAGCCUCUGCUAGCAUGAGGACACCUGGUCACUCCUCAGAGGCUUGGGCGUGGUGAUGUCUGCCAGGAGUAUUUAUUUGUUUUGUUUUUUGGAGAAGAUGACGUACAUGAACAAAUGUCUGGUAAAGGAGAACUCUAGGAAAGAGGAGCCCGUGGCCAAGGUGGAGAGAACCAAGCAGUGAGCCAAGGCAGGGUCAGGGAGCCCCGAAGUGCAUCCCAAGGGUGCCCCGACUCUGUGUGGGAAGGGACUCUGCAGCUAGGGUUAUGAACACCUAAGAGUCUGGCUCAUGGGUAUUGAUUACCUUAUUGUAUAAUCAAUCAAUGAGUAAAUCACUAAAAAUUGAAUAAAGUGAAUAAAGACCAAUGAUGAGUGCAUGUAGUGAAACAAGAACUGUUAUUAAUAUGCUUUUGAAGCACUUAAGUCCAUUAAACUAUGUACACAAACACACACACACAAACUGGUGGAUAGUGGCUCUUGUCUCUAAAAAGAGGAAUUUUACAUAGAUAGGAAAGUGGAAGAGCACCAGUGUUGAGAAUUGCAGGAUAAGAAUUUCUAUUAAUCCAGUGACAAUAUAAUUGAUUAUCUCUGUGGGUCGGGGACACAUUGGCAGAUGUUAGUUGUAUAUGGAAUUUUUGUCCUGUUUCUUUGGAUUCCCAGCUAUGAAUUAUAAAGGAAGGAGUGAAUAAGUUUAUGUCACGAUUAGUUAAGAGAAGCAGAUGAUGGGUCAGUCAGGAGAAUAAAUUAUGAAGCUCAUAUUAGGAUCCGGGCAUUCGCAUGCUGCUCCUGUCCCUGUAGAUGGCAUCAAGUUAGGCUUCUGUGUGUUUAAGGCUUCCGUGUAGAUUCAUGUGAAAGGACAGUGAUAGUGUCAGAUUUUAUAUGACAUUAAAUUAAGCAGUAAACAAACAGUUACAGAGAGGGUCGAAUGAUUUGCCAAUUAACAAUAAAAUAGUAAUUGAAGGACGUACCAUUAUGACCAAUGUUCCAUGGAACAAAAUUAAUAUUCCUUCAAUUGUGAACAGGUGGGAUCAAUUAAAAAAGAUAGAGGAAGAAAACUGUAGCUUAAUAAUUCAUUUGCCUUACCCCUAAGAGAAGGAAAAUGUGAGGAAGGGCAGAAAUAUUGUUAGUGAGGUAAGACGAGAGGUUUCUGGAUGUGUUUUGUUAAAUAUUUAACGUUUGGGCAGAUUGAAGGAAGAGGGCCAGUCCAUGCCCUGAUGAUGAGAGGAUUGUGUAAGGGACACUGGUUCAUCCUCAUAUGGUGGUUGUCCCCUGGGGCAAACUGUCCAGUGUGGUAGCAACUGGAGCAACCAGCACAAAGACUGAGGUGGGUCAUGUGAUCUAGCUUUGUUGUGAUAAUUAUUAGCCAAUUAAUGAAUAAACCAAUAACAAAUCUGGAAAUGAAUAUACAGCAUUGCUCCCCAGCCUAAAUCAGUGAUCAGCACCCUAGGGUGUCUGAAUCAAGGAUUUCGAUUGAACCCCGUGACCCAAGGACCGUUGUGCACACACACCUAAUCCAUCGUCCUGGUGGGACAUGAGUUUGUAGUUCCCAUGAGGGGGAAGGGCAUCUUGGUUUGGGUUUUUUGUAGAUCUUAGGUCUGCCCCCAGUGAGUCAGGACAAUGGCGGUUACAGAUUCAUUAAUCAUGACAGUAGGUAUUGGAUAUUAAUCAUUAUUAAAUUAUCUCUGAGAAGUUGGGUUGCAGUGAGUCCGUGGGUCAAGGGUGCUGCCGUGUGGUUAGUAGCAAACAUGGAUGUAUGUGAGCUUCAGGUUCUUUCCUGCUUGGCGAUAGCUAAUUCUAUUAAGACUUUUAUCAGGGGCUUUGAGUGUAGUGCAGGUAGAACACUUGCCUAGUUGUACAGGCCCUGGGUUCCAUCCCCAGCACUGAGAGAAUCGUUUUUGUUUUUUUUAAAUGUAUAUAUUUUAGUUGUAAUUGGACACAAUACCUUUAUUUAUUUAUCAACUUGUGGUGCUGGGGAUUGAACCCAGUGCCUCACAUGUGCUAGGUGAGCACUCUACCACUGAGCAGCCACAACUCCAGCCCCAAGAAUCAGUUUUUUUUUUAAGAGAAGGGAAAAAAGAAAAACAUAAUAAAUCAGAACUUCCCAACUGAUAGAAGAUCAAGUCCUGGCCAAUAGUAAGAGGUGUUAUAAGAUAGGAGCAAUGAUCCGGCGAGGCCCACUCAGUAAGUUUCUAGUGUAUGUGUCGGUGUUGAGACCAUAGGCAGGUGUUGGCAUUAUUUAGGGCUCUAUCCCUGGGUAUGCAGUCUCACAAACAGUGAUGGCAUUCUUAUCGGUGAAUGAAGGAAGGGAGUAUUUAAAAGAGGGCAGACAUGGACCAUGGAAGACCACCUGUCAUUUGAAAAGUUAAUUGCAGAGCUGGGGAUGCAUCUCGGAGCACUUCCCUAGCAUGUGUGAGGCUCUGGGUUCCAUCUCUAGUACUGCAAGUAAGUAAAUAAGUCAUCGAAUGAACUAAGGAAUGAAAAGCUCAACGUUCCUCUUGUUCUGAUCUACUGAUGCCCAUGUCAAUAAAAGGAGCCUGAGAUUCCGCCCAGGUUAUUACCUGUAAUAAUACUGCAGACUGUUUUGCAUUUUCUAUGAAGAUUUAAAAAGUUAUUCUGUGGGUAAAUAGAAAAUAAAUGAAUAAUUGAAUGAAAUCAUAAUGCAAUCGGAGAAGAUGUGGGAGGAAAUGAGAAGGUAAACUGAGUUAUGAUCCAGGAGCACCCAUGAGAGAAGACCCAGGUUCUCGCCUGUGUGUGGGGCAUAUCCAGACAGAAUCGAAAUGUGCAUAGUUGUGACUUGCCUACAGGGGUGUUUAGAAUUAGCAGUUUUUAUUGUAACACAUAAAUUACUAAUUGAAGUCAAUAAAUAAAGUGGGGGACAUUUUGGGCUAGUAAUGGGAAUGUGAUGAAAACUUGGGAAAACUUGGGUACUUAACACGUUGGGUACAGCAGGAUUAAAGUCCCACAAACAAAACCUAAAUCUGCAGUGCUUGAAUUUUCUAACAACUGCUUUUCACUCCACAGAUCCAAGAUACCAAAUCUGAUUUAUUUAUUAUCCAUUGUUGAAAACCGUGGCUGUUGUUUCUGUGGCUGAGGAGCAAAGGGACUUGGGAAGAAAAAAGAAAUCUAGACUUAUCCUACUUUGGAAAAAAUGCCAAAAAUCAGCAGUUGCAUGAAGUGGUAUUUCAAUCCUGAACUACUGGGACCAUUGGAGAGUGGCUUAUUCCUGAGAAACAAAGCCUGGGUGGUUGGCUCUGUGGGUAACGAACAUAGAGAACAAUGUAAGUGAGACCUCACCCUCCUGUCCUUGCCUGUGCUGCUUUUUUACUGUGUUUAGUGGUUGUGCAAAGGAACCCAUGUGCACAAGAGAAAGAAACAUCACCAAGAACGGACCGGUGAUGGGAAUAUGUCCCGAACCAAAAAAUAGGUUUAAUCUAAUUUGAUGCAAUGAAGGUGACUUUAUUUUCAUUUUUAAUUUUGGAGGUGACUUUUAAAAGGUAGUAGUUGUUUCGGUUAUUUUCAGAGCUGUUUAGCUUUGUAGCUUACUUUCCACCACACAUGAUUGGAACAUUUCCCUGUCUGUGUGGUACUGACUGAGGCGUCUGCCCAUGGCAACUGGGGAGAUGGGGAAGACGUUGCGAGUAGAGCAAGAUGGUGGUUUCAUGGCUUUUCAUUAAACCACCUUUGAAAGUGGGCAAACUGAGUCCAAGAAGGUCACGGAGGACCCGUGGCCCCUGCAGAUCUUGGUGUGCAGCACAGACGCCAGUAGGUCACACAUGUUCCCUGAGGUCCAAUGUUAAAGGGCUCUUGUCUAUGAGGAGAGGGUGGCUCCCAUGGAGGUCCUGUUGCUAAAACAUUGUGAUUGUAUUGUUGUUAAUUAAUUAAUUAAUCAAUAAACAAAGGAAGAAAAUGUGCUGGACCUGUGAUGAGUACCAUGGGGUAUCUGAAACAGGAUAUUUUGAUUAAACCCAUAUGUAUCUCUGAGGUCCACAGAGAGAGACAUAAUCAUUCCUCCUUUGGACGUGAGUUAAGGUAAGGUAAUGUUUCCUUGGUUUGGGGGAUAUAUUCCCCCCACACUUUUUUUAGUACAGUGCUAGUUAGAUCAAGCCCAGCAACUGCUCCACCACUGAGCUACACCCUCAGCCCAGAUUUUACUUUUUGUUUAAAUUAUAAAGUCAGCCUGUUAAUUUUAAAAAGUCUGAAAAAAGAAGGCAAAUUAUGCAAUUAUUAUGAAGGAAUGUCAUGCCACAUGGAUUAUUAAAACGUGUCUGAGUCUCCCAAAAGAUUUAUAGUCAAGGCUCUUGCCAUUUUGGUGAAGGUACAGGUGGUCAUUUGUAUACAGAAGCUUGUGAUCAGUUGUGGUGAUGGUUACUGAUUGAUUGUUUUGUUAAGGAAACAAAGUGCAUAUUCAUAUAAAUUGUUGGUAAAUAACCACAUAAUUGUCAGGCAAACAGGGUCAAUGAUCCAACCAUUCAUCUUUUCACUUUUACUAAUUUUUAUUAAAACAACAUAAAACCAAAUGGAUCUGUUAUCCUGAGUUCAAUGUCUGUGGACAUGUAAAUACUAUUUUGUGUCAUGGCCCGGUGCUGUGACAUUACAGAUUAUAGUGUCUUGAUAUUUGAAAAGCAAGGCAUGAUUUUUUUCUUAAUUUUCAGUUAUACAUGACAGCAGAAUUUAUUUUGAUAUGACUAUACAAGCAUGGGAUCUAUCUUAUUCUAGUUAGGAUCCCAUUCUUAUGAAUAUACAUGAUUUUAUGACUUUAUUUAUUUUUUUUAAGUCAGCAAACUGGACCAAUUAGGAACAAGUCAUGAGGAUUCCGAUCCCUGUUUUUUUUUUUUCCAUGACAUUAAACAGGGUCUCUUGUAUUUUUUAGAAAGAUGUACAUGGAGUUUUAAUCUGGUUCUUUAAAGCAUGAGGACAUUUUUAAAAGUAGGCUUUCUUUCCCCACUGUAGAACGCAAACCACAGUGGAGAUGUUAUUGCUCUAUGAUCAGUAACCAUCAUUGUUACUUCUCUACAAGGAGCAUAAAGACCCAAGUGAGGAAGCCUCAGAAUGGCUGUUCUGGGCACAGAUGGCCUUCCUCCUUCAAGGGAACCCACUAAAUUAUUUCAAUAAAAUAAUUGUUGAUUGGAAUGUGUCAUGAACCAAAAAUUACAAGUAAUUUAACUCAUUCCCACUAAGGACCAAGACUGAAGAGAUGGAGGGCACUUCACAUAUUUAACUUUCUACUUUAUGUCUCUUCCAACCGUGACCUAGUGUAGUCCCUUAUUUACAAACGUUGCUAACUCCUUGUGGCAGGAGUGCUUUGAAAGGUAAUUUUGAAGGGCAUGUACUUUGUUAUUAGGUCCAUGGCUGCUGGUUUCACCAGCCAAUCAGAAGUUAGGAUUGACAUGAAGCAUGUUGUGCUGAUUGGUCCGUAUGUUGGACCAGGGGCUCACUGUGAUAAGAUGUCUUAUCUCUUUGCUCUCAGUGAAGGGGAACAGUGAACAGAUUUUGGUUUCAUUAAACUCAUUUGUUCUUGGUCUUCUUGUCAUUAUGGGGUUCUGAAUGUAUAAUUAUUAUUCAUGAAUCAGAGAAUGGUUGAACUGGUUCAAGGAGGGAUAAAUGCUUGAAGAGAUGGAACGCCAAUGGAUCAAUGGUGAGCAUUGGUUGAGGUGUCCACAUCAACCUUCUGAUGAAGCCCUCUGUGUUAACUCGGGUUUGUUACAGAAUAAGAAGCAGCUAAUAUGUUCUGUAGAAAUUACCUAAGAGCAGAAGUUAGGAAAAUUCAAUAAACUUGGCCCUGGGAUUUUGUGGUUUGAAGAUAUGGAAUGUAUUAUACCAAGCAAAUCAAUACCUUCGUGAGUUGAGAAAUAUACAUGAAAGAUUAACAGACCUAUUCACAGAGCAAUUAGUAGAGGACAAUAAAACAAAUAUUAUUAGCAUUAUUACUUGCCAUAAAGAAGGGCAAUUAUUAAUCUGAAGUAAAAUGAACAGACGGAGUCUAUAAUGCUUUAUUUUAAUGUGGAGCAUAAUACUGAUAGUUACAAGACUUUUUUUUUUCAAUUUGCUUCUUUUUUUUUUAAUUAAGAAAAGGGAAAGUGUUUGUAUCAACCAGUAAUCCUCUGAAUACCCAUCUACUUACUAGAUGUUUAUCUAGGCAGGUAUUUGUAAUUGUUAUAGAUCUUUUUUGGGGGAUGGGUGGUGUACUCAAUAGUAUUUAUCACAUUAUUUAAAAUUAAAAGUUCAAUACUGACUAAUGAAAAAUUGCGUUUUGAGUCAAAGUUUAUUGCUACCUAGUUCUGCUUGAAUAAUCCAUUAAAAAUAAAUCUAAAUCUAUUCUAAAUCUUUUUCCUCCCCAGAGUGAACACCAGGCAGCUGAUUUAAUCAUUUAAUCAAGAAUUAUUGUCCUGAAUGAGGAGCAGAGAUGCUGAUAAAGCAUUCCCACAUGUGUGGAGAUCCUGGCUGGUACUGCCUUUGGGACCGUCCACAAGAACAUGGAUGAUCUGUGAACACAUUCACCUAUUCAAUCACUGUCUUCCUGUGAAGACCUGGCCUUUCCUCUCUUUGGAUAAGAAGAGAAGAUGUCAACCACCUUGGAUUUGGUCAUUCUUCAUGAUGAAGACCUUGACAGUUGCUUCCAUGGAAUGAAGACCACAGCUGAUUUAUUUAGUCUCUGCUGUCGAAGAUCUUAGCUGUUGCCUUUGUGAGUAAGAAACCUAAUGACUAAAGUAAGUAAAAGCUCAAGUUUUGUCAAUUUGCUUGAUAUUUUCAUUAGUUGCUUAUUGAAUUGCUUGAAUUAAGCCAUAUAUGGAAAAAGGACAUGUGUUAUGAAACUCAGAUUCGUCCGAUUAAGCACAGUUGUAGUUAAAGCAUAGAAGAUAUUCCACUCAUUUUCAGAGCUAAUCAUUCAUCUAAUUUCUGCUCUACAUUUAAUUCAAAAUUUAUCCAGUCACAAAAUCUAGGGUCGCCAUGUCCAAUAGGGUUGCCCCAUCCGUCCGUGGCUGUCUGUAUUUUAAAUGAUGGGAAUUUUAGGAAUUCUUGUGUUCAGUUGCUAUAGUCCUCUUGGUCGCUGCCUGGGGUUGUGGGGCAGUUGGUAGCACGUGUCCGUCAUCAUACAAACUCCCUGAGGAAGAGCACAGGGGAAGGUGAGAGACAGACAGGACAGGUUGGCCAGGAGCAGGACGCUUGCUCCACCCAGGGCCACUCUGUCAAGAGGUCCUGUGGAGGGAGGAGGCCUUAUCUGUAGGGAAACAACCUGUAACCAGAUCCUGGUAGCAAUCCAGGUUAUUGUUCUUGGCUUUUAAAAAACAUUCAUGAUUAUUGAUGUUUUUUACUCUAGUGAAGCUGUGCAUAGAUCUAUAAAUAAAGACAGAAAUUAAGAACAAGAUUGCUAUCCUGAAUCAAUGAUGAGCAGUACCCUGGGUGUCUGCAUCAAGGAUUUUUGACUAAACCCUAUGCCUGGGAGGUUCAUUGCAAUAAGAUUGAGAUUUGUUAUCUCUAUAAGAAAUGAGCUGAUUCUAGGAGUUAAAAAUAAUAGGGAUAGUGUUUUGGGGGCUUCUGAGUGUGGAAUAUAUUGUUUUCAGUAGAGCAGGUCAUAAAUAAACCAAGAAACCUAUAAAUGAGAGAGAAUGGAUGACUCCCAUUUAAGCAUGGGGGUUGAUAAGGCAACAAGAGGACAGUUCCAGGGACAUAGGUGAUCAGAGCCACCCCUCUUGGUGAAGGAGCAUUGAGAUAGGUGGAUGCUAGACACUGUUUUGUUCUAAUUAUGUUUUAUUUUUUAAAAAGGCAAAAUAUUUACUUAAUUUCAUUAUUGAUUAAUUGAAAGAGGGCAUAGGUCGGGAUCUAUGUUGAGAGCCUGUCACAUGGCCAGUUCUGAUUAAUACAGUGAUCUGCACUGUGCUUAACGUCAGUUCUUGGGUUUAAUUAAAAAAAAUAAUAAAAAAAUGAUCGGAUCUUUUUUUUCUGUGUCUAAUGAGCAUCUAGACAGGCAUUAAUAUUGUGCAGUUCCUGUGGAGUCACAGAUAUAUAAUGGUCUCAUUAUGAACUUGAAAAACAGUAAGUUAAUGCCGCAGUUAAUCAUUUAAAAGGAAGCAAAUCAUGGACCAAGGAGGACCCAGGUUCUAAAACAGGGAGAUGGAUCAGUGUAGUUCCCCACGCACUCCAGAUAGUUAAAAUAGACUUAGGACCUUGCAUUUUUGGAAUGAUGGCUAUAUUUAUGAAUUUAAAUAGAAUUUCCCUUUUUUGGCUUGUUGAUACAAUGUCCUUAAAUAUGGAAUAGCUAAAUGACACCAUGUGUACCUAGAGAGGUCCUGUGUGUUCAUGUGCAUGUGGAUAUAGCUGAGUGUGCCUCCAUCCACAUCCUGUACCAGGGUUCAUUCAGAAGAUUCAGCACUUCCCUGCAUGGGUAGAGGCAUGCAAAUAGACAUAUGUGAUAGUUCUUAUUCUUUUGUCCGUUGCUCAUUAUAGUAUAUUUAAUAUUCGCCCAAUCGGUGAGUCCACAGGGAUGCCAUAGGUAUGUUUAAAUGUAUGACAAGCACUGAGUUUUAUGCUGAUCAAAUAUUGAUUUGAACUGAAAUAGAAAAAAAAAUCCCUCUAUCUAUCUAAUCUGCUCUUUUUCUGUUUCUAUUCUGCAGAAUGGAUGCACAGAGAUACAAUCUUUCUCUAGCGAGGAAGGUUUUGGUUGUUAUCCUUUUGAGUAAUGAGGUUAGAAAUCUAUGUAAGUAAUAGAUUAAUUGAUUCUGGUUUUAUGGUUUAUCAUGGACGUUAAUUCUGUCAUUGAGAGGGAAUAAGUGGGUACGUAUACAAGUGAAAUGAAUGAAGGUCAGACGUGGACUAAUUCAUCAUAUCUUUGGUCCAUUAAAGAGAAAGAAGCAAGACCAUUCUAUUUUCAUACUCAAUUUAUUCGUGAAUUAAUUAAUGUAACAUUCAUUAUUCUGUUUUAUUUCUGAGUGUCAGUUGAUUUAUUCUCCCUCUGCUUAUGAAGACAUAGUUUAGUCACAUUCCAAAAUGUAAGAUAUCGUCAGCACUGUAUGUGUGGAGUAAAAGGAUGGGUUCAUGCUCGUUUUUGUCAUCUCCUUAAAAAUGGGUGAAGUAGCUAAAAGAUGAUCCAACCCUGACCUGUAUGGGAUUAACAUAAAGCAAGUGUGCUUGCUCUUAAUUACUAGUCUACAAAACUAAGUCUGUCACUCAAAGAGAACUAUCUACUUUCUCUGUGAGAAAUGGACUUUGGACAGGUAUUAAGCACACCUUUCUUUCUUUUGUGUUACUGAAGAUUGUACCCAGGGCUUUGCACAUGCUACGUAAGUACUCUACCCCUGAGCAUAGCCCCAGCCCUGUAAGAAACUUCAGUUUCUUAUUAUUGUGUUUUGUGAACCAUAAGUAUUGAUUAUAUUUUAGUGGAUUCUUGAGCCGGGAGCAAAUGUAUGAAUGAAAGAUGACGAAGAAUGCUAAGCAAGGAGCAUGCUGGGUUUUUGUUGGCUUUGAACCAAGGGUUUUGGGUAGUCCAAAUUUGGUCAGUGCCAAAUCAGUAUUUUCCAUUCCCACGACGACCCCUCUGGCUUAGAAACAUAUAAACAUAUCCUAGUAAUAGGCAUUGUUCUUAUUAUUCUAAUAGGGUAAUUUGGUAGUUGUUCAAUUUAAUACAAAAAAAAAGGAAAAGAAAAAAUGUUAAAUAAAUAAAUGAAAAUAAGCAAAAAACGACCAAAUGGCAUAGGAAGUCUGGGUUAUGUAACAAGGAUGAUGGUUCAUCCUGUUCGAUGCAACCUCUACCCAAUAUAGGAGACACAGGCUGCCUGUGCCUUGGACAUUACACAUGCAGGGAGAAGCACUCAUUUAUUUUACUUCUGCAUUGCUGGUUUGUUUACUCUAUUGAUUUUUUUUAAGCAAUGUGGAUGCAUGAUCAAAUUAAUCCAUGAGGAAGUACAUAUAGAAUAAAUACAUAUGUUCAGCAACUUAUGCAUACAUCCACAGGGGUAAUCAAGGCCCAUUGGUGAGGCUAUCAAACAGUCAUUUAAAUUAAUUAUAUUGGAGAAUAUUCUAUUUUUAAAGUAGACAUACAUUGUGAUCUACAUAGGAUGGGGCAUAGAAACAGCAGCUCCUAGUAGAUGUAGCACUUUUCCUUGUGUUUGCUGAUCAGUUAAUCAUUUUCAUCAUACAAUUAAAAAGUAAAUCUGAGAAGGUCCUAAGUGAAUCAUAAACCACCAGUGACAAAACUCUUGUCACAUCUCAAGGACUUUAAUUAGUUUAGUCAUACAUGACAUCCACAACACGGAAAACAACCACAGAGUUUCCUUCCUUCUGACAUCGGUUUUCUGUUCCGCAGCCUAAACGCCUGACAGCUGGUUUCAUCAGUCUCUGGUGAUGGAGGCUUGGAUAUGUGCCAGUGUGACGUGGAGUGCAGAGGCUGACCCCAGGAACUGUCAACGUUCUCCCAUCCGAACACAGGCCCCUGUCAUGAGGUUCUGAGUUAGAGAGUUGUGAUUUUUAUCAUUGAAAAAGAUGUUCCCAAGAUGGUGUUCCCAAGAUGGUGACUGAAUUCUUCUGUAGUCAUGAGGUUUGUGGUCACUGCCAUGUUGUUCACAACACAGGAGCCAAUGUAAGUUGAGUCAAAUUGCUUGUCCUGGAGCGGGUGGUAUUUCAAGUAUAUUGGUGAUAUGAUAAAUGGAUUAUAUACAAUCUGAACAUAGCAAAUGUGGCUGGAUGACAAAUAUGGCAUGAACAUGAAAUAUUAUAUUGGUUAAUCAUCAUUUAUACAAAUAACGUUGGUUAAGGAGAGAGGCAGGCACUUUGGAGAAAGAUCUUAUAGUGGGCCAUGCCCUAUUCCUAAGGAUCUUGUUCUCAGAGAUUUGUGACUCAUAGUUACAUAAAUACUUUCAGUGAGAAGAUGAAUUGGUCAAUAAGCACCUGUAGAUAUUAUUGAGAAAAGAAGAGACAAAGUUGGAUCAAUGAUGACCACUGGUGGCAUAUGAGUCACGGAUGAUGACUGCGGGUCUGGAUAUCUGAGGUCCAAUACAGAUGACACCUAGUAGAUACUGGGUGAUGUUUGGUAUAGAUGUUAGGAAGAGUCAAAGAUGUUUUUCUUUGUCUCGGGAUUCCUUUUUUCUUUUAAAAUAUUUUUAGUUGUACAUGGACACGAUAUCUUUUUUUUUUUUUUAAUUUUUAAUGUGGUGCUGAGAAUUAAACCCAGUGCCUCACAUGUGCUAGGCAAGUGCUUUACUACUGAGCCACAAUCCCAACCCCUGUCUCUGGAUUCUUGAAUUUUGAUUUUAUUUUUAUAAUUGGUUCAAAAAUCUGAAUCAGUAAGCAGUAUUCUCUGAAGGACAAAUGAUGUGUGAAGGCACAAAACACCAAUGAUGUAUAUUGAAUCACAGAUAUCCAUUAGGAAGUGAAGGAUCAGAAGAGCUAUAACUUUGGAUGAGGAUCAUAUAUUCAUGAAAAAAAAUGUCCUAUGUCUUUGUUCUGGGCUGAACCCCAUUCAAUGUUUAUUUUCUCAAGGAAAAAGAAUUAUAGUUUAAUACAAACACAAAUGACUAAUAAAAUGAAACAAAUGCAUGGAGUAACAGUGUCUUUAAAAUCCGUUGUACUUUGUACUCUUCGGAAUGAGUGUUCCAAAGAUGACCAGAGUUGCAAGGUCCAUGGAUCUUUCUUGUGUUCUUGGAGGAGAGACCAAUAAUGGACACUCUGAGAGGAUGGAAGCAUUCUUCUCUGGCCCUGUGAUGUACAGUUCCUGUGUGUGUUAGGAGCAGUGGGUGCUCCCAAGAUGUCGACAGCAUUCUUCUCUGGCCACAAGAAUGGACACUCUCAGAUGAUGGAAGCAUUCUUCUCUGGCCCUGUGAUGUACAGUUCCUGUGUGUGUUAGGAGUAUUGUGAGAAAGAACAGAUGCACUCUAUUUGAUUGAUGGAUUUCUGAAGUUGCCUGUCUUAUUGGGGAACUGAUAGAAAUGUGACCUGCAUGGACCAGUAGAGAUAAGGUGUCAAUUUUGCUUUUGUUCUGCUUUUCGUUUCCCUGAAGAGACCCCUGGGCUGUGUUGAGCAUUCUGCCUCCAUCGUGGGUUCAAAGGUUGCCUAUCUGGGUAGGAGUUUGGGCAGCAAGAGUGGACACACCCCGACUGAUCAAAGCAUCUGGCCCUGACUGUGACCUCUGUGGCAGACCCUGGGUGCGGGAGCAUAAAGAUCAACAUGUGGUCGUCAGUUACCAUCUUUGGGAAGUUUGUUUAUUUUGUUUGGAACAUUCAAAGUUAAUAAAAGAAGUAUAUUUAAAGUAAAAAGAACAAUUGUUGUCCAAAAAAAAAAAGGUGGGAUUAACAUGAAACGUUGUGUUGAUGAAUCAUUUUUCUGGCGAUCAGGAUGAUUGAAGUGGGGCCAUGGAUUCUGGAGACAUUUCUGUGGACACUUGAAUCAUCAUAUUUAAUGCAUCCGUGAAACACUGAGGACCGUGUCUUGAUAUGCCCAUGUUGACAGUGAAUCUGUAGCUACAUGUGGGUGUCAGGUCUUUCUUUCUUGUUUUCUCUUUGUCCCUUGGAAUUUUUGUCUCCUAGGAUCUUUCUAUUUCUCAUAGGAUUUUUAAAAAGCAAUAUUAAUGGAUUAAUCAAUGAAGAAUUGUAGAUGGGAAUGAAAUGCAUGGGGCACGUGGACCAUUGAUGGGAAGGGGCGGCAGGCGAGUCCUACGUGAUGCGAAGUCAGACACAGAGUAGUAGCUGCCCAACGCUGGGGUGCAGUGGGAGAAAGGGGCAGAUCAAAGCAUACCAAGCAUCAUUCAGAGAGGCAGAGGUUUAGGGGAGCCUCGCCCAUCCUGGUGAGAGUGGUUGUUAACAAUGGGUAGCACUGUCUCAAAACGGCUCAAAGACUAGAUUUUUAAAUACAAGAAUAUUUACAAAAAUGUACAAAUAUGUACAAAAAUGACAAGGCUAUGAAUUGAUAGAUGUGUUUCAUUAGCUUGAUUUAACCAUUCCACAGUGAAAACAUAUGUCAAAACAGCACAUUGUAUCCUGGAAAUAUAUAUAAUUAUUUGUCAAUUAAAAAUGGAAAAAGAAACCCUGACUAGACCGAUACUCUCACAUGAGAAAGAUUUUAGAAGUAUGAAAGAAUUAUUUUCGUGGAUUUUGAUCCUAGUGUCAUUUGUGGCCCCCAUGGCAGAAUUGCAUGCACAGUAAAUGAGAGAGGGCGUGGAGGGUGGAGAGUGCCUACUCUUAAUACCCCUCUAAUACUGUUAAUGUAAGCUGAAACCUAAGGUCCUCGAGGGAAUGUCAGUGGAUCACGUGUCUUAUCUCUGACCAAGGAUGAUAUAGAUAGUACGCUCAGUUUUUAUUCUGGGCCUACGGCAAUUUUGAUAUUUUUCAUUUUCUUAUGGAAAAAUAACAAAUAUGAACCCAAAGUCAUAUAAACUUAAUCGCUCACUAAACAAAAGGGGGAUUGUGCAGAUCAGUCUUGGUCAUCGACUCUGUCCUUCUCAGGAUGGGCAGAGCCAGGUGGGUAGGACGAGGCUGUGCGGUCACCUCUGUGUGUCGGACCGUGGAGACCAGUGUGGAUAAUGGCCAGUGUGCUCAGUGUUUUGUCCGGGAUAUCGAGUGUGCUAUCCCAGAAAGUAAGGCUAAUCAGAGAGGGCAGCUGUUGCCCCGUGAUAAAUAUGGCGUUGAAAUGGAACAUGGCGUUGAUCCAUUGAUCUUUUUUUUUUUUUCUUGUCACAGUGAGGAUGAAUAAUGAAGGAAGAGUAGUCGAUGAAUGUGAUUGUCUAGAAAAAUAUUAAGGAUCUCCUGUGCAGUUUUUAUGAUCAGUGGCUAUUUAUUUUAUUAUUACUGGAGAAUUAUAAGUUAAUUAGUUAAUAAAAGUAGAUGAGAGUGUAGAGAAAUUGACCCAAGACAGGGUAAUGACGAUGACCCUGGGGUAUGAGUUCUAUGCAGUGAGUGACUACUGCGUGCUCCAUUCAGUGAGACCUGAUAAUAACAAAACAAAGUAUAUCCGUUUGGGUUGGAGUGAUCUUAUGUACAGAUUCUAGCAAUGUAAAGGGACCAUUUUCUUGGAUUGCUUUUUCUAUAGUUGUGUUCUACUGUCAUAAAUGAUAACAACGUUACAAUCAUUGGAGAAAUGUAAAUAAGCGAAGAUAAGAAGUGUCUACUCCGUAACCGUGGCGAGGCAAUAAAAAUACUAAAAUAUAUUGAAAAUACCGAAUUUUGGGCUGGGAUUGUGGCUCAGUGGUAGAGUGCUCGCCUAGCACAUGUGAGGCCCUGGGUUGGAUCCUCAGCACUACAUAAAUAAAUAAAAUAAAGAUAUUAUGUCCAACUACAACUAAAAAAAUAAAUAAAUAUUAAAAAAAGAAAAUACCAAAUUUUAUUAAAAAGAAUUUUUUAUUCUUAAAAAUUAAAAAUAGUCUAUUAAAAAAAGUGCCUUACUUCUUUGAAUGAGGAUGAUUUAGACAAUUCAGAUUGUCUAUGGAUCAGUGGAAAUUUUGAUAUUCUUCAUUUUCUUGAGAGAAAACUUAAUAGGUAUCACCUCAAAUUCAUAUGCACCUAGAGGGCUCGAUGAGGGAGCACCUCCAUCUGGGGUCAGUUGCUCAGCACGUGCACUGCUGAACUACCCCCAGCACCGACCACACUCUGGGUGCCCAGGCUGCCUCUCUGUGCUGAGGCACUCGGUCCACUCUGGGCUGGAGUGAAGCACAUCUACUGGUUUUUGUGACAAGGGGAUCAAUCAGAGGCCUGAUCCAUCAGGCAAACGGUUCCCAAGACAGGUGGUGGGCACACAGAUGGAUCUUAUGUGGUCUUUGAGUGUUUGUGAUUCACACGUAUUUAAUUAUUAUUGGCAAAAUCACAGAGUCAUCAAUAAACCAGUUUAGGUAGGACGGAGGAAGGCCCAACCUUCGUCCAGCGAGGGCAGCUGGUGGCACCUGAGUCACGGAUAACAGGUACCAUGUCUGGACAUCUGAGCCAGACCCAGCAAGGCCCUAUCCUGAGGGAUGCCCUUGUUCUGUUCCAUGCUUUCGCCUAUGCAGAUUAAUUCAUUGGUGAACAAUAAAUAACUAGGUGUGUCAAACAAUAAAUAAGUGCAUGAAACCUUGUCUAGCCAUGAAUGUCUGUGGUGAGGCAUGGAAUAACGUGAAUAUAAACAACACAUUGAAACACGUCAAGCAAUCAGUGGACUGAAGAUGUCACUUCUUUUCCUAAGGACCAUUAGGCAGUGACACGGGUAGGCAGCAUCCAGUUUUGUAGGUGUGCAUCCAACACACCCAAACAUGUUUCUGUGUUUGUAUCCAUGUUUAUAUUAUGAAACAGUCGACACCUGACUGUCGGCACAAAGGAGGACAAUAAGGACUCCUUAGGGACCACCUCAGCCUCUUACUCAUGUUCUUUGUCUCAUUGUCCUCAAGAAGGACACACGCCCCCUCAUUUGUGCGUUCCUCCAUGGAGCGAGCUCCGUGUUCCCUCGAGGCUGAGGGCAGAGGACCACUGUGAGGAAGGCUCACAUCCUUCUGAGAGUUUUGCCAUGAGGUGGUCACUGUGUCAUUAAAAAUGUGAAACAUAAUCCAAAAGGCCAACCAUGGACAACAAUUAAGGUGGAAUUAAUGAGAUUUAUGAAUCCCCAAGUGAUGAAAGUUCAUGGAAAAAAUACAUGGAUACGCCGAGUGAUCCUUCAGACAUGCACGACACUCAUUGCCCUGCCUCUCAGGUUUUUGUGAAACCUAGUUUUAAAACUUACAUCAAUAAGUUGAUCAAUUAACAAAUACACACGAGAAUAAAGAAAAAGGGAUGUAAUCCUGAGUCACAGGAUGAGUGUUCUGUGUGUGAACCUCUGAGGUCCAAUAAAAAAGUGGGUGUAGUCUACACCUCUGUUUAAAGCGCCCCCAUAGACUGAUAUCAGGAAAGUUAAAGGCUCACUUUUUGGAAUGACCCAAAGAAAGAAUUAGUGUACAGAUAAAAUAUGGUGAAGAUGGUCUCACAUUCCCACCAGUCCUGUACAUGGGUAAGUAAUUAAAACCAUGAACACAGUAAAUAUACAGACAUCUAUCAAGGAAUAUAACUGUCUCCACCCUCAUCCUUCUCUGGACAGGAAUGACAUCUACAGCCAAUAAUCAAGUUCUGUAAUGUUGGUUUUCUCCAGAGAAGAACAGUGAAUGUCCUACUUCCCUGUGCAGUAUAACACUGAGCAAGGGCCAAGUGAAAGGCGGGGCCCCAAAGAGGAAUCACAACUUUGUGUUCAUAUGUUCCACAUUGUACAGUUCCGAAACUUUGUGGUAAAGCAGGAAACAUAUCAACACAUACAGAUCAUAGUGCAGUUCAAAGAGAAAUAACUGGUGUGUGCAUGUCUCCUUUUGACUAAUGGUGGUGUAGACCUAAUUAUAGACAGUGUUCUGGGUCAAUGGCAAGUUCAAAUUAAUGAAUUGGCACAAAUCAAGAAUGAACAGUGAGCACACCCCAUUUGUUGUCAACAUCUCUGCUCUCUUCUUCUCAGAGUGGACAUUGCCUUUGGACAAGAGGGCUGGCCCAUGGUCAGGUGCUGUUAGCGCCCUUCUGAGGAAGAGCUGCAGACCUGUAUUGGACCUGGCCUGUGGACAGGAGGAUGGCUCCGUGGUCUGGUGCCCUUAGGACCCUCCUGAGGGGAGCGGCCGAUCAGUGUGAGUCCUGGUCAAUCUUCCUGUUUGAGAUGGGUUGGCUUGCAUAAGGCUUGUGUCAGUCGAGUAUAAAUUAAUGAAUCAGAAAGUAGCCAUGGUCAGACAGAUCAAGGAUGACUGCUGGAGGUGUAUGGGUGAGGACCUCUGGAUCUGAGGUCCUUCCCUAUCUCCCACCAAGGGUGUUUGUCUAAAUGUCUCCCUGUGACAGAUUAAAAGUGGGGCACUUCUCUGAUUGUUGUCAUUUUCUCUGCCCUCUGCUUCUCAGAACGGACCUGGCCUGUGGACAGGCGGACGGCUCCAUGGUCAGGAGCCAUGAGCACCCUGUUGAGAGGAGCUACAGCCCAGUGUGAGUUGUGGUUAGUCUUUCUCUUUGGGACGGGGUGACUUGCACAGGGCUUAUGAUCAUUCAAUUAAUGCAUGAAUAAUGAUCCAGAAAAGGAGGUGGUCGGAGUGAGCGAGCAGCCGCUGUGGGACAAUGAUGAUCCUGGGAGCUGUACGAGUGAGGACAGUGACUGCCUUUGAAUCUGAGGUUCUUCUCCAACUCCGACCAGAUCUGAUUGCUUAAGGGUCUCACUGUGACAGGUGGACUCUAGGGCGCCUCUCAAUUUGUUGUCAUCUUCUCUGCCCUCUGCUCCCUAGAAUGGAUACGACCUGUGGACAGAAGGGUCUUCCAUGUCCAUGGUUGGAAGAAGCUGCUGACCACUACUGGAUGAUUUUGAGCCCAUUAAUGCUGCCAUCAUGUUGUCAUGGAGUUUGGAUUACUGGACCCUCUUGGAGCUGGUUUGGAACUCCUCCGUGGCCAGGUGCUCCAUGGGUGACUCUCCAGCAGAUCUGGAGCAUGGAUGCUUUCGAGGGGAUGGAGCCAUACCUCCCUGGUCGCCAAACCAUGGGCUGCAUCUCUGCAUCAGGACUUGGGACCGAUGUGAGUCAUAGCUAGAGUUCUUUGGGUGGUUCUGCUGGAUCAUUGAAGGGUCUUUGCUUAAGUUGUAGAAAAUGUGAACUGUAAUACAUUAGGCACACCCAAGGCCAACGAUCAGAUGAAUGGGAAGUAGUAUACCAAAAUACAUGUGUACAAAGCUGAGGGUGGUGGUUGGAGAAGUAGAGUGGUAAGAUGAUACCUAUACAGAUGACCACCACCAGGGCUAUCUGUGGGCUUUCUGGGAAUAAGAAGGAUUUCACGCAUUAUUAGUGAAUCAAUGAUUAAAUCAGUAGGUCACUGUUGGUAUGUGCCUCAUGUACUAUGAAAGUGUCUAGAGCCAGCACGAUAGCACACAAUUGCAAUACCAGAAGCUCAGGAGGCUGAGGCAGGAGGUUCAUAAGUGCAAAACCAGCCUCAGCAAAAGUGAGGUACUAAGCAGCUAUUUUGUAUAAAAUACAAAAUAGGGCUGGAGAUUUGGCUCAGUGGUCAAGUGCCCUUGAGGGCUAUCCCACAACAGAUAAGAUCUUUAUUUUCAAGUGUUUUAUGCUAUUAUUUUAUUUGGACCAAUAAACAAAUCAGAGGUCCAACAGAAGCAGACCCUUGUUCAUACCUGCUAUGGAAUGGAUCCUAUGUGCAAUGUCAGGUGAUGGUAGGAUGCAUGGAUCUUUCUCUCCAUGUAUUUCAUGUGUAUUCUUAUAACCUGAUUAAUGGUGGCAGAAUAAACACAUUUAGGGGCUGCAGCAUUGUCCACUGGUAAAGUACAUGAAGGGUAUUUCCUCUGGGGUCAGGAAGGUAUACACAGUGAAAAAUUAUACUUGGGCAUUGUUCUUGAUCUUUUGCAAGUUAGAGUUUAUCCUAUUUUGAGAAAAACAAAUAUUGCCGUAAUUGAUGGAAGCCAAGCGAAGGAUGUUAGUGAAGGAUGGGAUGCAUCCAUCAGUGGAGAGGGCGUCCCUGGCUUAGUGUGAUCUUGUCUGCUUGGUGCUUUACAGUGGCUGUCCCUGACUGGUAUGAGGACCCUGCUGUAUGGAGACAUUCUGUUGUGUCACUGUGUUAAGGAGGUGACCACUGUGAGUGAUAGCCAAGGUGUUUUUCCUUCUCUGGGGGAUGGUAUAGAGGUAUCAUAGCAUCCUUAAAAUUCUUAAACAAAUAAAAACUAACCAUGGCCAAAUAAUGAAUAUGAUGAGGAACCUUGCAGUUAUUAAUUGAUCAUGAGCCACACGGAGGUUGAAUAUUGAGAGAUGCUGUAUGUUUGACAGAGGAUUCUACAGACAGAUGUUGGAUUUGUCCAGCAGCUUAGGUUCUGGACAUCAUGUUUCAUUUUAUUCUUAUACAUUAAUUAAUUACCUAAUCAAAACAAAGGAGCAAAUGAAUGAUCCAUGAAGAGACCAAGACAUGACCUUGUGCUCUUGGCUGGUGUCACAUGAGCCACAUAUGAGGGAGAAAGCGUGUCUGGACAUGAUGUCCAACAUGAGAGGAAUAGAAGUCUUUUGGUAGGCACCAUCCUCAGGACACAGGCAGGAACAUGGAAGGAUCUUGGUCUUCCCCUGUGUGGUUACACUUGCAAAUCCUACAACUAUAGUUAGAUGAGAAAGUGCCAGACAAUGGCGCACCGAGGCAUUGUUUAAUGACAGAACUCAGUGGUGGGUCAGGGAACACAUGGUGUCAGCACACAAGUCCAAUCUGUGCUGGUGUUCCAUGGCCAAGCCUUCGUGGCUUAGAGGACACAGUGAGUGCAGGGACCCUGCAGGGUUCCUGCUGUGGUCUGGGGCCAUUUUGAAUUAGCUACUUUUGCUGAGAGCUAAAACAAUACCCUUUCAGUUAACAUGCAGAGGCCACAUGAGUGAGUUUCUCAAUGAAGAGUGAAAAGCAAGGGUCAGUGGAGAGAAUGUCUCAGUGUGUUGUUUGUUUGCUUUUCUUUCCUUGGGUCUGCUGUGCACUUGUCCCCAGUGGACCCUCUUGGAGCUGGUUUGGAACUCCUCCGUGGCCAGGUGCUCCAUGGGUGACUCUCCAGCAGAUCUGGAGUAGAUAACAUGGACAAUGGAGAGAAGGUUUUCAUCAUGUCCCCUGCUCUGUACUCUUUGGAAGUGACGCAGUCACCUGAUUGAAGCUUCUCUUGUGACCAAAAAUGUCAUUCUUCCUUUGAGUUAAGAAAGACUUAAGGAUGGACAUGCUCCAGUUGACUUUAGCACUCUCUCUGGGGCAGGAGCUCUGCAGCUCUCUCUGUGUGUUCGGAACAUGUUGACCAAGGUGAGUCGACAGUCUGUUCCCUCCAUGUGACCCAUCCUAAAAAGUGUUGCCAGGAACAUACAAGGAUCUUGUGUUAGGCUGUUGUGUUGAUGAAUUCAUCAUGGUGGUGUUACAAGGAAUCAAUGGUAUCAGUGGCCACAUAAUCGAACAUAUGAUGCAUAAAGGUGGUAACCGUGUUCAUUGUUAAACUAUAUAAUAAGUAAAAUAAUAUUAAUCAUAAAGUGGAAUGAAUGAUAAUGGAACAAAUGUACUUCCUCCUCCUGUGUAUAUUGUCUUUGACUAAAAUAGUAAUGGAAAGGGAAUACAUAAUACUGUUUGAUCUGAGAUAUUUAUACAUUUAGUGUUUGAUUUGUUAAGAGAAAAAUAAAUAUCAUCACAAAUAACCUGGGAGACUAGGUAAUUAGAGGGAGGCCUGGGGAUCAGUUGACAGAAUGUCUCAGUGUUUUCAGUCUUCUGCUCUGCUCUGUGCUCCUUGGAGUGGAUGCACCUGUGCUGAUUCAAGGGUGAUCCCUAUGGUGGUGAGCUCUUGCCUCAGCAGGCUCCGAACAGAGACAUCAGCAUGGGUCAUAUUUGGUGGUUGCUUGGUUUAUGCCAAUGAUUAAUAUUUCACGUUAAUAUGAAAUCUUACUUUAAUGUAUAAAAGAAGCCUAAGUUUCAUUCAUGAAAGAUUUUAGGUUUUUGUAAAUAUAAUGUGAUUGACUUCUAGGGACAUCAAAGAGCUUGCUCUUUUUGUGAUUUGCAUGUGUCUCCUUCUUGGUUUCUCUCCCCCUCUUCAACCUCUGCCCUCUGGGAUCUCACAAGGUUAUGUUGCCCUAGGUGAUCUCAAACUCCUGGUCUCAAGGAAUCUUCUCCGUCAGCCUCCUGAGUAGCUGGGACUGGGGGUGCCUCCACUUGACCCAGCUUUAAGUGGUUUGGUAAUUCCAUAAAGAAGAGUAGAUGUGCAUGCUGGGAAAGAGGGCCAGUCCUGAGAUGCAGAAGACAGGGGAGGCUGUGCUGUGGAUGUUCCAUGUGAAGCACUGGACACCACUCACACAGGAUCUAGUCCUUGCCCAUAUUCAGUGUGAUGCCAUAGAUGGGGACAGGAAUACCCAAGGGCUGGUUCGUGGUCUUGUCCAUGAGCUUUGAAAAUGUCAUCCAAAAAAUAUCAAUGGUAGUAUGAAAACAAACGUAUAAGUGAAUAAAAAUGAAGAGGUGAAACAUUGUUCGUGGCUAAAGCAGUAGCAAGCGGGAAUGCCAGUGCGCGCUGGAGUGGAUGACAGAUGGAGCAGGUGGAUAGCUUUGUUGACUAACAAUGGUGUAUGCACUAAGGAACAGUGAUUGCCCCGAGUUCUGUCCAUGUUUGAAGCUUUCUAAGAAGAAAAGUAAGCAAAUAUUACCCUAAAUUAAUAAAUAUCUAAGUGACAUGUAAAUUGGAGAUAGAAAUUAUGGGUCAGUAGACAGAAUGUCCCAAUCUUUUUAUUGUUAUCUCCUUGAAGUAGCCUGCAGAGGAGAUUGGCUAAGCUAAAUUAAGCACUGUGCCGUAUCACAUUCUCCUGUUACUUCUUUCUUCUGAGGAGAUCAUUUUUUUGUUUGUUUCUUAAUGAAAUCUGAAUCAAUCUUUCUGUUUGGAGGAUGCUGCACACAGAUGGUAGGAAAUAUAGAGUGUAUUUGAUUUUUAUCUUUUGUUCAUAGAUUUUUAUUUUACUUUCAUAAUUAGAUUAUACAAAAAGAGUCAUAUAGACAGUGUUCUUGUCUUGAGUUCAGUCAUUUCUUUCAUUUUAUUUCUCUUGUUUGUAUGGUACUAGGGAUAUCCUAGAAUCCAGGGCCUUGCACAUGCUAGGCAAGUGCUCUGCACUGAGCUAUAUACCCAUCAUUGGGUACAGUCAACUUCUUGAGAGUCCACAUAGCAUCAUUAAAAAAUAUCAGACAAGCCAUGCACAGUGAUACAUGCCUGUAUUCCCAACUACUCCGGAGGCUGAGGCAAGAAGACUUGAAGUUUGAGGUCAGUCUCAGAAACUUAGUGAGAACCUAUCUCAAAAUAAAAGUUACUGUUUUUAUUUUUGUCUAAAGUACUACAUUGGUGAGUAUAUUUUUCUAAUUAAAAAGGAUUGGGAAAUAUAUUUACCUUCUAAUAUUUGUCACAUGUCAAUAUUCAGUGUUGUAAUUAUUUUUUAUGUUUUCGUGGAGCACUUGAGUUACACAUAACAGUGUUCAUUUCCCUUAUCAUACAUGCAUGGAAUAUCAUUUGUUUCACUUCAAUCCCCACCACUUACUUUUUCCCUCUCCUUUUCCCUCCCUUCCUCCCCCUGCUCCCUUCCUCAAUAAAGGGUUGGAUACAGCUCAGGGAUGGAACUCUUACCUGCAUAUGUGAUGCCCUCAGAGCCAUCACUAGUACAACGAAGAAAAAAUUAGCAAAUAUUUAUCAAAGGCCCAUCAAUACAAAUGGUCCAUGCCCUCGAUCUGGAAAAUCCUACAGAUAGAUAAGGGAAAUAGCCUGUAUUUGCCUUGUACCUCAUAUCAUGCAUUUUUAUUCCUUUGUAAUAAGAUUAAUAAAAGAACCAAUAUAUAAGAAUAUAAGAAUAUAAAGAUAGGUUAUGUAAAAAAAAUGCCGUAUCAGUAAAACCUGGUGAGGCAAUGUAUACUGUUAACGUACACUAAAACAAUCUAAAAAAAUAAAAGACACAUAAUAAACAUCUAUUUAGAAAAUUCAGCAUAGACAUUAUUCAACAAUGUUUAUAGCUAGUUCACUCAAAAGUUCAGACAUACAUUUUCUGGAAGAGGAAAGGUAGAAUAAUGAAUAUCUAAAUAAGGAACAAAUAGUAGGAAAAAGCAGAGUGCAGUAGUGAACACAUACAAACAGCUAUCAUCUCAUGUGCUCUCUCCACCUCAGACUGGACAUGGCCUGCGGACAGGAAGACGAUGCAUUGUGAGGAGGAGUUAUACACCAAUCUGAGGUGUGGUAGGAAUUCUUGCUUGAUAUGGAGUAGUAUGCAUAAAAUUAUUGACAGAAUUAUUAAAAGAUGUAAAGCAAAAUGAAAAAUGUAAAGUUGGGUAAUUAAAGAAAUAACAGAAAGUUGAAGAUUGAUUGUGUAUCUGUGAGAAUUUUGACUAGCACUGAGGUGUCAAAUUACAAAGGUUCCAAUGCAGAAUAAAGAAAACAAGACACAUCAGACUUGAUGAAUAAUGACAUUUAUAAUUAGCAAAUUAAUGAAAUAAUGAAUUUAAAUUACAUUAGCAAUGGGUGGAAGUAAAAAGAACAUAUCCUGUUGGAUUAUGAUGCAGAGGUAUAUGAGUGGGGAAAGAGACAAGCAUUUGGAUCUGAGAUUCUGCACUAAAAGAAAAGCAAGAAGAUUAUAUAACACUCUGAAUAUGACAGAAAAAAUGCGGGGAGAAACUUCAUUUUUUGCCCCAUUUCCUGCCCUCUGCUCCUCAGAUUUGACUUGGCCUGUGGACAGGAGGAUGGCUACAUGGUCUGCUGCCCUUAGGACCUUCCUGAGAGGAGCUGCCCAUCAGUAAUGGAUGUGUGCUGUGGACAGGAGGAUGGUUCCAUGGACUGAUGCCCUAAGGAUCGUACUGAGGUGGAGCAGAAGGCCCAUAUUGGACAAGGCUGAUGGACACCAAGAUGGCUCCAUGCUGAGGUGUGAUGAGCCCAUGGCGGGCGGGGGCUGCAGAGAGGUGUGAGUCACGGGCAGCGGUCCCCUCUCGGUGGGGUGGCAUUCUGCGGGCUUCUCCUCAUUCGAGUUGUGAUUUACUCAGUGAAGGAAUGAGAGAGUAGCCCCUUGGGGGAAAAGUGAGGACCCAUAGUGUAUUGAUGAUGACUGCUGGAGGUGUCUGAGGGAGGAAGUGGCUAACCUCUGGAUCUGAGGUCCUUCCCUGAGUGCAAUGCACGAGGAUUGCAGAACAGUCUCAGGGUGAGAGAUGCCAAGGGGGGCGUAUCUCUGUUAGUUGCCACCUUCUCUGCCCUCUCCUCCGCAGAUUAGAAUUUGCCUGUGGACAGGAGGAUGGCUCCAUGGUCUGGUGCUCCUUGGACCCUCCUGAGAGGAGCUGCCCAUCAGUAAUGGAUGCGUCCUGUGGACAGGAGGAUGGCUGCAUGGACUGGUGCCCUAAGGAUCGUACUGAGGUGGAGCAGCAGCGCCAUGUAUUGGACAAGUCCGAUGGACAGGAAGAUGGCUCCAUGCUGAGGUGUGAUGAGCCCAUGGCGGGCAGGGGCUGCAGAGAGGUGUGAGUCGCGGGCAGCGGUCCCCUCUUGGUGGGGUGGCAUUCUGUGGGCUUCUCCUCAUUCGAGUUGUGAUUUACUCAGUGAAGGAAUGAGAGAGUAACCCCUUGGGGGAAAAGUGAGGACGGAAGUGACUUGCCUCUGGAUCUGAGGUCCUUCCCUGAGUGCAAUGCACAAGGAUUGCAGAACAGUCUCAGGGUGACAGAUGUCAAAGGGGAGCGUAUACCGUUAGUUGCUACCUUCUCUGCCCUCUGCUCCUCAGAUUGGACGUGGCCUGUGGACAGGAGGAUGACUCCGUGGUCUGCUGCCCUUAGGACCCUCCUGAGAGGAGCUGCCCAUAAGUAAUGGAUGUGUGCUGUGGACAGGAGGAUGGCUCCUUGGACUAGUGCCCUAAGGAUCAUGCUGAGGUGGAGCAGCAGCGCCAUGUAUUGGACCUGGCCUGUGGACAGGAGGAUGACUCCGUGGUCUGCUGCCCUUAGGACCCUCCUGAGAGGAGCUGCCCAUAAGUGUGAGUCCUGGUGAAUGAUCGUGAGUGGGACGGUUUGGCUAGCAUGGGGACUGUACCAGUCAAGUAUAAAUUAAUGAAUCUGAGAGUAGCCAUUGUGGGAAAGGUGGAGGAAAGCUGUUGGAUUGAUGAUGACAUCCGGAUCUGUAUGAGUGAGGACUGUGAAUACCUGUGGCACCUGAGAUCCUUCGGUAUCUCCCACCAAGGGCGAUUGAUGGAGAGUCUCAGAGUGCCAGAGUCACAGUAGGGUACGUGUCCAUUAGUGGUGUUCUCCUGUGCCCUGUGUUUCUCAGAAUGAAUGCGUCCUGUGGACAGGAGGAUGGCUCCAUAUUCUGGUGGCCGUAGGACUUUGCUUAGGCGGAGCAGCAGCCCUGUGUGAGUCCUUCUCCAUGUUCCUUAUUGGGACAGGGUGGGAUAUGUAGAACUUGUAUUCCCUCUGUCAACGCAUUGCUUAAUGAAUUAGAAAGUUGCAGUGUUUAGACAAAGUGAGAACUUGUUUGGCUCGAUGAUGACUGCUGGAGGUGUCUGAGUGAGGACGGUGACUAACCUCUGGAUCUGAGGUCCUUCCGUCACUCCAGUCGGUGGUGAUGGCACAAAAGGGUCUUUGUGAGAGGAGAAAAGUGGGGCCCACCUUCAUUUUUGCCCUCUUCUUUGCCCGCAUGUUCUCAGGUUGGACGAGGCUGAUGGAUACCAAGAUGGCUCCAUGCUGAGGUGUGAUGAGCCCAUGGCGGGCGGGGGCUGAAGAGAGGUGUGAGUCGCAGGCAUCGGUCCCCUCUUGGUGGGGUGGCAUUCUGUGGGCUUCUCCUCAUUCGAGUUGUGAUUUACUCAGUGAAGGAAUGAGAGAGUAGCCCCUUGGGGGAAAAGUAAGGACCCAUAGUGUAUUGAUGAUGACUGCUGGAGGUGUCUGAGUGAGGAAGUGACUUGCCUCUGGAUCUGAGGUCCUUCCCUGAGUGCAAUGCACGAGGAUUGCAGAACAGUCUCAGGGUGACAGAUGUCAAGGGGGAGCAUAUACCGUUUGUUGCUACCUUCUCUGCCCUCUGCUCCUCAGAUCGGACGUGGCCUGUGGACAGGAGUAUGGCUUUGUGGUCUGCUGCACUUCAGACACUCCAGAGAGGAGCAGCCCAUCAGUAAUGGAUGCGUCCUGUGGACAGGAGGAUGGCUCCAUGGACAGAUGCCCUAAGGAUCAUGCUGAGGUGGAGCAGCAGCGCCAUGUAUUGGACGAGGCCGAUGGACACCAAGAUGGCUCCAUGCUGAGGUGUGAUGAGCCCAUGGCGGGCGGGGGCUGAUGAGAAGUAUUGGACUUUGCCUGUGGACAGGAGGAUGGCUACAUGGUCUGCUGCCCUUAGGACCUUCCUGAGAGGAGCUGCCCAUCAGUAAUGGAUGCGUCCUGUGGACAGGAGGAUGGCUCCAUAUUCUGGUAGCCGUAGGACUUUGCUUAGGCGGAGCAGCAGCCCUGUAUUGGACGAGGCCGAUGGACAGGAAGAUGGCUCCAUGCUGAGGUGUGAUGAGCCCAUGGCGGGCAGGGGCUGCAGAGAGGUGUGAGUCGCAGGCAGCGGUCCCCACUUGGUGGGGUGGCAUUCUGAGGGCUUCUCCUCAUUCGAGUUGUGAUUUACUCAGUGAAGGAAUGAGAGAGUAGCCCCUUGGGGGAAAAGUGAGGACCCAUAGUGUAUUGAUGAUGACUGUUGGAGGUUUCUGAGGGAGGAAGUGACUAACCUCUGGAUCUGAGGUCCUUCCCUGAGUGCAAUGCACAAGGAUUGCAGAACAGUCUCAGGGUGACAGAUGUCAAGGGAGUGGCUUAUCUCCAUUAGUUGUCACCUUCUCUGCCCUCUGCUCCUCAGAUUGGACUUUGCCUGUGGACAGGAGGAUGGCUCUGUGGUCUGCUGCCCUUAGGACCCUCCUGAGAGGAGCUGCCCAUCAGUGUGAGUCCUGGUGAAUGAUUGUGAGUGGGACGGUUUGGCUAGCAUGGGGACUGUACCAGUCAAGUAUAAAUUAAUGAAUCUGAGAGUAGCCAUUGUGGGAAAGGUGGAGGAAAGCUGUUGGAUCGAUGAUGACAUCCGGAUCUGUAUGAGUGAGGACUGGGAAUACCUGCGGCAUCUGAGAUCCUUUGGUAUCUCCCUCCAAGGGCAAUUGCAUCAACGUCUCCGUGUUCCUUGGGAAUGUGGACUCAUGUUCAUUUGUUGCUAUCUUCUCUGCCCUCUUCUUCAUAGAAUGGAGUUUACCUCUGGAUCUGAGUUCUCCUACUUAUUCAAAUUCUGCUGUUAUUAAUUAUCUUUUUAUAUAUCCGUUCAGAACAGUUAAUUUGUUUGCUUCUAGGGUUCCUGUAUGUUCAUUCUGUUCGUGUAAUUGAAUCAAGAAGAGAAUUAUCAAAUAUAGGUACAUUUAAAUGAAUAAGAUUACAUGUUCUUCCAUUAUGAAAACAUCUGGAGAGGUAUGAAGUACUCAAAGGUCAAAGAGCAAUCACUCCCACAUGCUCUCUUUGGCUUAAGAUGAUCCUGAGAACAUUGUCAAGAUUGUAGUUCUGGCUCAUUAUUCAGUUUGGAAUUAUUCACUUAUUAAGAAUCAGUGAAAUAAAUGUCCUAAAUGACAGAGUGGAUGAGGGUGGUAAUCUGGCCUCCAUGGUGACUGUGUGCCUUUCAUUACCAUCCUUUGCUCUCUGCUGUUAGAAGGGCUCGUUGUAGGACUCCUCCUGGAUCACUGCUGUUGGCCCAAGUUUGGAGCUUGUGGAUCACGUGAAUCCUGACCUUCACUGCAGUCCUCAUGUGAGUGGUCUGUUUAGCAGGACACAUGGGUUGCUAAAUGUAUCUAAUUUCACUUGUUUUAGUCAACUUUUUUUACUUUCUUUUUUUUUUGCUGCUGCAACUGACAUGCCCUACAAGAACAACUUAGAGGUGGAAAAGUUCAUUUGGAGCUCACAGUUUCAGAGGUCUCAGUCCUUAGAUGGCCAAAUCCAUUGCCCUGGGCCAAGGUGUGACAUUAUGGUGGGAGCAGCCAGUGGAGGAGGGAAGCUGCUCAGCUAGUGGAGGGGUCAGGAAGCAGCGUGGGAGUGAAGGGGAUGGACAGGAAGCACAGCCCUUCCAAGUUGUCCCCUCCUUGAUUCCUCUCGUCCAACCAUGACUACCUCCCGUCUCCUGAAAUCAUUCCCUCGUCCUACCACUCAGACUUGAACGAGUUGAUUAGGUUUCAGCUUUUGUAAUCUGAUCAUUUUACCUGUGACCAUUUCUUAAUUAAUCCAGGAGUUUUGGGUAGACAUCCCAAAUCCAAAUCAUAACACCACUCGACUUCAGUCAAGGUUGUGGUAGAGACAGGAAGCAUUCAAUUGUUUAUUAAGAACUUAGGGUAAUCCAUGAAACAGACACAUCAUUGUUACAAUGAUUCCAUAUAUAGAAUCAUGGCUUUUUUUGUAUUUUUUAAUGAACAGAUAUCAAAUUAUUGUCAGUGAAUAAUAAAUCAAUCAACAGACAGUAUAGAAAUGAUGGGGAAAGAAGUACAAAUCCAGAAUUAAUGAUGACUAUUGUUGACAUGAAUUGCAAUUAAUGAAUAGGUGUUUUUGCGACUCUGAGGUCCACUACAGAAGAAAUCUGGUUCAUUCUUUACUUGGGGUUGCAUAUUUUUAUUUUAUAUUUAAAAUUGCAACAAUGUUAGAAAGAAUCAAGAAUUAACGUGAGAAUAAAAAGAGAAAAAUGGUAAAGUUCCAUUGGUAUGAAGUUUUCUAUUGCUAAUGCAUAUUAAUGCUGAAGAUAAUAUUAAAUAUAAAUGAAAAUUUUAAUAUCUGAGUGAUUCUGUAUACUCUAGGAAUAAUAAGUUCUUCAUAUUUUAUUGUUUAUAGGCUUAAAGUAAGCAGUGAGUUAAAGACUGUCAAUAGACAGUGUAGAAAUGAAUUGAGGGCCAGUUGUGGAUUGAUGAUUACCACUAGUGGUUUAUGUAUCUGUAACUUUGAGGUCCAUCUCAAAAGAUAACAAGUCUAUUCUGUCUUUCAAAUGACCCUGUAGGCAGGUGUCAGAAUACAGAAUGUGUUUCUUUGGGGUAUUGUGUUUAUGCCAUUAGUUUCACUUUCUUCAUUGGGGUCAUUUACUUUUAUCAUUGAGAAUCAGUAAAGAUGAAUACAUUUAGGCAUUGUUCAAUUUAUCAAAAUAUGUGGUGAGACAAGAAAUACUCUUGAUUCAUAUUGAAGUCAGUGUAGCCUGACAUACCUGUCACCUGCUUGGUGGAGUGGACAGUGUAAAACGUUGACGAUGUUCAGUUUCUGGGUGGAUCAGAAGUUUAACAUUCUUCUUUUUUUCCUAAUAGAAAAUGAACUUCGUAUACUCCACAUUAUUGCUCAUUAAAUGAGUAACUUGUGAAAGCCGAGCAGCAGGGAUCCACGGGCAGAGGGCCUGAGCUUUGCUGCCAUCUCUUCUGGGGCAUUCCUCAGAAUGGGCACCCUUGGCUGGUGUGAGUUCUCCUCGUUCACGCGCCCCUUGGUUGUGUCUGUGUGAGGAACUUGCAGACUACUGUGUGCAGGAGCCACGUGCUUGUCCCUGCUUAGGUUGUGUGUUCCUAGGUGUAAGGACAAUAUGAACGAGAGUGCACCGCCUUCGUGGUUAACAUGGAACGGGUGUGAACAUCGUGCUGAGGCACAUGUGCCACGGGCAGAGGGUUGCAGUGAUGGCAUUCCUGUUUUGACAAGGAGUCCACACGUGUGGGUUGGUGGUAUCAAUGCUUUUCUUGAAUUUUUGUGAAUCACAGUGUUUAAGACGUACUAGUCUUUUAUGCAGUGGCAACCAACGGAGAGACGCCAAUCCUAGGUGAGUCGCGACUGUGGUGCAGCUCAGCCAGGCCUGGCCGUCCCUGCAGAACACCAAGGCUCACCGCAAAGCAACCGAGCUGCUUCCUCCUUUAGAAUUGAUGCCGCAGACGGGCGCCAGGGUCGCACAAAGAGCUUGGUUCACUCUGUGGACACGCAUUUUUGUUCUAAUGUUACAACUGAGUCAAUGAAAAAUCCAGUAACCCAAUAAAUGCUUUUGAGUCGGGGUCAGCACUGUCCAACUAGAAAAGCAUUUUGUGAGGCAGGAGAACCUUUUUUGUAUUGGAAGCACUGACUCCCAUUAGGGCCUGGACACUGUAAGGCUCUAAUAUCUUUAGUGGAGGGUCAGGGCCCACGUUCCAUGCUGGUGGCCCAGCUGACAAUUGUCCAUGCGAAGGAAGACACAUUAAACGGCAUCCCUGAGUGCCUGAUAGACUGGCUAAGUGGAAUAAUGCAAAGACCAGCGCAGAUGACGUCCCAGUCUUUUUUCCCUCAGCCUUUUUAAAAGACGGAGACGUCAUCUGCACUGUGCUUUGCGCUCCGGAGAACCAUCUGUGCGGUAACUAUGGAGACCUGUGGGAGCAGUUCACAGUCAUAGUUCUUCUCUUGGCGUCAGUGUUUUAAAAAAGUAUAAAAAAAAAUAUGAUCAUGGAAAGGAAACUUUGACCCCGGGAUAAAAAUUGGAGACAGGAAAAACACCAUGCUGAUGAAUGCAGAGAGAAACACUAAGGCUUAUUACCGAAAGAAGUGUUCGUCGCUCCGCGUGGUUAUUACGUAAGAAGAUGUUAGAGAGAGUCAAGGAUCUGAAACUCUUGUGACUCUUAGGUAAUUAUUUUUACUGAGCUGAUGAAUUAGUCAAUAAAAAUACAGAUGAAGAAAGUGGUCACAGAGUCCGAAAUGCCCUUGCGCUGGUGGCAUGGGUGACGUGGGCCACGGGUUAUUGCUAUCUGGCGCUGAGAUCCACACAGUAGAAAUCAGGUCUACCCUGGGCUGGGAAAACCCUGUAGGUCCUGAGGCAUUAGAGACCAUCCGGAUCUCAUGCUGGAAUGGCAGCCGCAUGAAUGUCACAUCAAACACACCAACAACACACCGGGGUCACUCCUGGCAAGGAGUCCAAAACUGUUGAUAAGUCAGUGUCAAGGCCAUUGCUCUGGGUCCACUGCAUGUUUCACCUUUGUUUCGUACCAGGAAAAGUACUCAAGUAAAUACGAGAUGGCUUGAAUCACAGAGGUGGGACCCAGGCCUGGUGGGUAGGUGGGAGUCAGGAUCUCACCUCUGCCGCCCUUGAUCUGGUCAGAGCGGUCCUGGGGCCCACUGGACUGAGGGCUGGGGCUCAGCUCGGCUGCGAGCUCUGCGGUGUCUCAGGUGUGAGCAGUAGUCCCAGUUCCUGGCAUGGCCUGGGCCUGGAAGGGGGUCCAUGCCUCGUGAGCAAGUGGGCAGAGUGACUUAGGCUGCCUUGGCCCAGUGACUGGCAGCUUGGGUCAGGAUGAUGAAUCCUGUUUCAGGAAGUUUAAGCUCAACAUAAAAUAAGCAUGGUCUAUUGUUCUGUUGGAAAUGAUCCUCUACCCAGGGGUUCAAAACAGUCGCCGACCCAGCUCUUGUGAUCUUGUGGCUCAUGGCUGGUGAUGAGAUGAGGAGUGAGUCAGUGGCAUGAAGAGCUCAAGAAGUAGGGAUGACGGAGCAGAGCUGUGCCUGGGCCACCUCUAGCUCGUGGGGUGCAGCCGGCUGCUGUGCCACGCGGCCUCCCAGCAGCUGAGACCCCUGCGUUUGUUGUUGUUGUUGAUCUCUCAGAAAUGUGUGAGCUUUCAGUGUUUACAUUCUGGUUAUCUGUGGUCGCCUGGCUAUUUCAUUACUAAACAGGAAAGCCAUUUCUGUAUGAAAGGCUGAACAUUGCUUCCAUGCUAACAGUCAGUGGUCAGCAUUGGUCAGGAGUUGUUGGGCUCACCACCUCUGUUACCCAGACGCACUGUCCCUUGCACUUGAGUGAUAGGCAGUGUACCUGGAGAGCCAUUAUCCCUGUGGUCCUGCCAGGGUGUGAUGAUCAGUUCAGUUCGCUAGAAGGGAGAACGCAGGGGGGCCUUGGUGGAAGUGCCAUGGGAUAGAUGUGAUGGUUUAACUUGUUCCUGAGAUGAUGCUUCUCUCCAGAAAGAAUUCUGGUUCUUAUAAGAUGGUAAGGAGAAUGUAGACAGGCACGAUAUAGCUUAUUUUCAGAUUUCUGAGAGUUUAAACAUUGUUGUCCUUCUUUAAAAGGAAUGAAAUAGGUGGCCCAACUAUUUUAUCAAUAAAUGGAUAAAUAAAGUAGGAUACAGCAUUAUUCAUGGCCUGAAAUUCCUUUGAAUCUUAGCAUUUAAAUUAAUCCGAUCCUGCACGUGUGAAGUCCAGAGAUUCGAGGGGUUCUGAGGGUGGAGGUGUUGAGCAUGAAGCCUGCUGUAGGCCACUCUCAUUGUGGAUUGAGAUGGUGGAUUCACAUGCAUCUAUUUUAAUGCAAAAUUAAUAACUGAGUAAAUCUGGCCAAAAGGGGGUGCUUUUUCGGCCAAUUAUAAAAGGGAUAUGACCCAAGUUUAAGACUAACACCAACCUGCUUCCCUUGCCUCCAUUAGAAUAUUAGAGUACAGCCGCACUCUAGGGGAGUCCAUUCUCUCUAACUCAUGCUCUCUCUACCCUACAACAGAUCCUCACAGAUGAUGGUCUUGGCUGCCAAAUCCCCAGUCAGCAGAGGGACCUAACAAGGAGUGCUCGGAGUUCUUGCCUUGGGUGGACGGCUUGCUCCUAGAAUGCACACAACUCCAGUCAAUGACCUUUCUGUAAUGAUGACGUCCUUUGUGGUUCAAUGGUGCCUGUACCAUGGCUGAUUAAAUUAUCCUCCAGUCGUGAAGGUCUGUGCCUUUCCCUCUGGGUAAGGAGAAUAUCAUACAAUGUGAGUAAUAAAGUUCUUGGUUCGGGUCAUUAGUUCAUGGUUUCCACUGUGUCAUUAUAAAAGAUAAUUAAAUUUUAGGAGGCCACAUAUCGUCCUAUGAUAAGAAUGGGUUAUAAACCAAAAUUAAUCCAAUUUAGCACAAGAUGAUGUACAAGGCGGAAAACACCCUCAGCUUUUCCAUUAAUUUUCCAAAAUUUUAAAUAUCUUAUUAUUUAAACAUCCCCUUCUUGAUAAGAGCUGGCUGUUUCUCUCUUGGGACGUUGGAGGGUGGUCGUAGUAGGACAACACUGAUGUGUUGUUCACCUUCAGUGCAGUAGGGCAUCAUCUGGCUCAGCGAUGUGAAUGGGAUGCAUCUGAAUAAAAAUUAUGAUUGAACAUUUUUUUGAGCAACUAAUAUCCAUUGCCAAAAAAGAAUUUGGGGAUUGCCUUGGGAAUGAUUCAUGGAAUCUCAUGGAGUUUUUGUUGUUGUUUUGUGGCGUGGGGGCUGGAACCCAGGGCCUCACACAUGCCAGGCAAGUACUCUGCCACUGAGCCACAUCCCCAGCCCGCCGCUUGGAGUUUGUGAGGGUUCAUUGAUAUCAUUUCUAUAUCAUUAGUGAAUAAAUAAAUGGAUCAAUAAGCAAACCUUUUCAUGAGGAAAGAAAAAGAGGCCAAAACAUGAGCCAAUUUUGAGGAUAUACUAUAAAGCAAAGGAUAUUAUUAAUUCAGUUCUGAAAUACCAUGGCCCUUUAAAAGGGGAAAAACAGGUCAACAUGGUGGUUGCCCCUUCUUAUAAGAAGCAUCUAGAUAGAGAUGUUCAGCCAUUGAUGUUCUGCUCUUAGUUGGCUGAAGGUUCCUGGGUUUUUGAUUUAUUGUGAAUAAAAAGGUUAAAAUGAAACAAACAAAUAAUAAAUAAAUGGUUAACUCCAUGAGGGGGAGGUGUGAACCAGUGACAAGGGAAUCCCAUUCCCUUUUGUAUCUGAUUUGUGUGCACACAGGUGGAUACACCUCAGCUGUCUUACUCGUGAUUUAAGAAUCACGUGUGUCACCUAUGUGACAAAGGACAAUAUAGAUGGGGGUAAGUCAUAGGCUUUUAUUUUACUUCAUCUUUUUAUUAUAGUCUAUCACUAUUUAUUCUUUUAAGAGAAUAAGUGACUCCAUGCAGUCACAGAUUGAGAGCAGACCAUGCCUAAGCCCUUGGAGAGUGCGUGUCCUAACCAACAGCGAGAUCAGUUCACUUUGCUAAACAGAGACCCAUGAGAAAUAGGUGUAGAUGACCUAUUUAAUAGGUUCUAGACUUAGCCAAAGAUCUUGUUCUUGGUUGAAUUGGGUUUUAUUGUUCUACUAAAAGUUACAAAUAGCCAAACAAGUCAAAAUGCUAGCAAAUACAGUGUCCACUUGGGUGACUGUGUCAUGAAACAAGGUUUGUUCAGCAGGAGUCAAACUGUUCUACUGUCUUUAAGGAGUCCAUGCAAAGACUUCGGUCAGUCACUUUUCCCUCUUAUUGGCUGUAGAUUCUUUGUUUUGAACUUAUUUCCUAAAAUGGGUAACUGACUAAAUUAAUAACCAGGAAAAUUCAUGUAUGCAGAAAAUUGAAAUGACCAGGAUUAUUCCAAUGAUAAAAUAUUUUAUGAAAAAAAAACGUUAUGAUCAACUCAAUAUUACUUCUCGGAAAUCCAUUUAACCAGAAAGACUUAAUCCAUUAUCUCUGUGUAAUGGAAAUAAGAGGCAUGUGUCAAAAUAUUUGUGUUUUUUUUCUCAUAUUCUGGUGGGUUCACAGAAUUAUCAGUGUCAUUAAUAUUAUUUAUUAAAUCAGUCUAGGAAAAAGUAAAUUAGAAGCAAUCAAAUAGGACUGGUGAUUAAGAUGUGUUUUGGAACAAGAAUUAUAAUUAUUGUGGCUCUGUACCUCCCACAUCCGUGAAAGAAAGGUUCAGUCUUUUACAUCUCUGUUUUAAGAGCAUGUAGUAGAUUGUCCCACUCUGCAUGUACUCCUGAGAUAUUUUGGAUAUUUUCUUGGUAUCUACAUGGGUUAUCUUUGUCUGUCUCAAGCACGUAUUUUAGGGACUCGUUUGUUUGCAGGUGUGGGUAGGAGGCCCUGAUACCCCCUAGAUCCCCACUGGGGCAGCUGGUAUCUGAGAGUGCUGUGACGGGGCCCUCUGCCCUUGCUUUGCUUUCAUGCCUCACCUCCCAUGCUACAGGAGCUUGUUGAGAAAUGGGCAGGUAAAAGAUAAAUGAGGAGGACUUUUGCCUGAUGAGUCCUUGAAAAUCAAUGGAAUCAAUCAAUGAUGCAAUGAAAGUGGGAAGGAUUAUGCAAAUGAGCGCAGCAGCCUCAGUGAGCUGGGGACUAAUGCCAGAAGUGAAUGUCUGCGUGGUGUGUGGGUGAGGGUGCCUGAGCGAGCAAGCCCACGUUAAGUGGGAUGCUGAGGGAAGAGUGCAAGAUGAGCAGGUCCGUGGGUCCAGAUGGAAAACCAGUGCUCAGGAGCGUGGGCAGCCCACAAGGCUGAGCCCCGAGGCUUCACCAGCAGGUGGAUAAACAGAGGUGAGCCAGUAGCGAGGGAGUAGAUGACCCAGCAUGCCCGUGGGCAAAUCAGGCAAGGAGGGGGUGAGGUGGAGCAUCCAUGUGGGUGAAUCCAUCAAUCAGUCAAGGAUGAGUGAGUGAAUGAAAAGCCAGUGGAAGAGAAAAAUAUGGAACAUGUUAGCUGAGUCAAAGAAUGAAAUGAUAAAUCAGCACCUGAAGAGACCAAUGGAUGGAUGGGUGAAGAUAGAGUAGCUAAUGAAUACAAGAGGGGAUCAGAGAGUAGGUGAGUCAGUGUGGAAUCAGGGGCCCAGUCAGCCGCUUUGAGAAUGAAUGAAUGAGUAGUGACCGAGCCAGCUGCCCUUGGAGGAUGGAUGCAUGACCUCACUGCUCCUGCCUCCCCACAGGACUGCAAGGCACAGCCAAGCCCAGCCGCAGCAGGAACGUGGGGCAGGAGCACCCUUCUCCUCUGUCAUGGGUGUCACUUUACAUGUCAUCACUAAACAGAAGUGCCUUGAGGGCCGGGAACUGGGUCAAAUUCUUUCUGUAUCCCCAGAGCCUGCCCAGCCCGGAGCCUGGUAGGCACCCAGUAAAUUACUGCUGAAUGAAUGAGCAAGGAACUAAAAAUACACGUGCUUUUGUGGAACCAGCAUGGCCUGGGUGCUGCUCUUGGGAGAAGCGUGUUGGGUAUCAGAGACUCUGUGGCACCCUCCCCUUCGAGUCUAGAUUCCCCCUGGAGUCCAGCUUCCUGUGCCAGACAGUGCACAGAAUACUGGCAGUUCUGACUGCUCUGGCCGUUGGCCCAUCCUUGGGCAACACUGGCUUGGCAUGGUGGAUUGGAAGCCCUGGGUCUUCCCGAAAGCCGCCCUUGUCUCUGCCAAGACAGGAGAUUGAAAAUAACCCAGUCUUGUUUUUAUGCCUGCUGAGAGUGGGCCCACUCCUGGCCCUUCCAAGCCAACCAGAUUCUUUCUUGUUUCCGAUGGUAGGCUAAACGCAAGGCCCCUCUUGACCUCAGCUUUGUCUGUGGGAGGGGGCAACGGUGCCAACGUGACUGGCUUGUGGUUUUUAACAAGAGCUUCUUAUAAGGGUCCUUGAAUGUCCUAAUAUGUGUCAUGUGCAUAUCAUGGUACCUGGGAGGAAAAGGAUGCCUUGGAAGUGUCACAUGCCACUCUUGUUCUGCACUCCUGUCAUCAUCCUUGGUGAUGUCAGCUGUGCUGAUUUAAAAGCUCCCAGACAGAUAUGACACCUACCUUUUCCUGUUCCAGGAGACGGGAGGGUUCAAAUAGCUCUAGGAAGAAUGUCAGUUGGGGCAGGCCAGGCCAGGCCAGUCCACGCACCGCUAAGGCCACGAAACACGUCCUUCUACCAGGGAGCAGACAGAUGGAGGUGAGCUGCACCACUUUCUCUCUCCUGGGGCUCAUGCCCAAGACCCGCUUCCUUCCUUUGUCCCUUCCAUGUCCAGUACCACCACGUGCCUCACACUGACCAUUCCUCUUCCUCCCCUGCUGGGAGCUCCUGGCCCUGGACUCCACCUGGUCUUACACUUCUCCUCGGGACUUGGUGGUCAGUGCUCGAUGUCCGGUGUGGGAUCAGCCGACUCCUUUGUGAGGGUUUGAUUUGGACUCAAACCAUUGGCCUUCCUGCUUCAGACCAAACCAGGUAGGGUCCCCUUCCUAAUUUUGGACAUCUGAGAUGGACUCUUCCAGUUUGGCUAUUUUCCAUUUGGUGAACUUUAGCCCCCCAUGAGACAAGGUCAGGCAUAUUUGUGGCAGGAGGGUUCUCUCAGGGCUGAGGUUGGGCUGCAACAUCAGCCUUGAGGAUUUGGGGCCGGAUCUGGGAUUCGCUUGGUAAACAUGUGCAGGUAUAGAGAGCCUGAGUUAGGUUCCCACCACUUCCCAGAAUUCCCUGGAUAAAUGAAGCCUGCCAGCCUCCCAGUGUUUGACAACUUUGAGUCAAUUCUAGAUUUCUGCUCCUUCCUGCUCAGCCUUGCUCUGCGCUGACAAAGUCACUCCCUCUGGAACAUUCACAGUGUCUUGCCCUCUCUUAACUCCUGUGUCCCUUUAUGAAGUCCCUCCUCUCUUCCUCAUCCAUCCCUCUCCAUAUCCCUAGUGGAGCCUGUGGACGUUAUUAGUCAUGAGCUACCAAUUCUUCCCAAAGGGCUAUGUGCUUCUUGAGAACAGGAUCUUUCUGCAUCCUUAGAGCCUAAGAGAGGGUCUAGGCAUCAGGCAAUGUUUGAUGAAUUAACCAUUCAUGCAUUCCUUCAUGGAUUCAAAAAAUAUUGGGUCUUUUCUUUGCCAGAGGCUGUGCAAAAAUAGCAAGAAAUAAGACAGAUGCCACCUAUGCCUUUGCAGAGCUCCAAGUCUUGGGUGGGAAUUAGAUUUCAAGUAAAUAUUCAGGGCAAGAUUAUUCAAUUACGCUUGUGAUAAGUGCUGAGAGGCCAGGUUGGUGGGGGCAUGCUUAGUGUGGCCAACUGGGCUGGCUUUGACCUGCACACGUCCCCUCUGCUUCUCUCUACCUAGUUUUGAGGAAGAAUUGAAAGGACAAGAUUAUAGCCUUGGUUGGUGCUUGCUGGGGGCUUUGGUUCCUCGGGGUCAGGUAAGUGGGCUCUUUGCCCACUGUGGAGGAGACAGACGGGAUGGAUUUGGGGGUUCCUGUUGGUCAUUGCCCUGGCAGCUGCAGAACACACACUGCCCUUCACUGGAGCACCCUGCAUAUUAGUGAAGUCUCUGCUGAGUGUUUGGGCUUCUCCGGUCUCUGGUGAGCCUUCAAGUGCUUCUCUUAGAUGCCUUCCUAGGUGACACACUGGGGUAGAAGGGACUAAGAGUUGACAUUUCCUUUUCAUUCUGAGCUUCUCUGAGUAUUGCCAAGAAGGAGCUUGGUUGCUAAUGGCAUUUUAGUGGCCUCCAGCCUCCGGCUGCAUCCUCCCUGGUGUCCCCCAAUUCUGCCUCCUCCACUGUUUAGUGUCCACCAAAGCACCCCUCCACCCCUUGAGCAUCUCCUGUGAGCCCGUGGGCCAUUCUUCUCAUCUGCUCUCUGCCACCUCUGCCACCACUGUGCCAGGUCAAGCUUGUCUUGGGUGGAUGUCAACCUUUGAAUUGGCCUUCCUGCCGCAUUCCAGCAUGGCCUCCUGGAACGCACACCCAAGGGCCCCGAGCUCCCUAGAGCCCUCUCCCAGCUCCCCCAGGCCCCAGGAGAAAGCCCAGCUCCUUGGCCUCAUCCCGAGGCUCUUCAUGGCCAGGGCUCCAGCCUCUCUCCAAUCCACCCUCUGGCCUUGGGGUCCCCGCAGAGCUCCUCUAGCCCCGUCUUGCAGUGCUGGGACCUUUCCUCUCCCUCCCCAAGGUGGGAUAAGUCUACACUCUUACUCAGUCAUGCCCUUGGCUCCCUGGCUGAGGGUGCCCUGAGCCCCGACUGCAGGGCAGAACCUGGUAGUGAGGGGUGGACGGAGGUGAGUGGUGGGGAGAAGGAGAGCGAGUGCACCUAGGAAUGACGCAAAGCCUCCCUGGGGACAAGUGACAUCCCUGGCAGGGGCCUGAGAGCCUAGCAUGGGGGCAGCAGCACCUCCUCAUGGCACGGCCUGUCCCCUCCUUCCACCAGCUCCACUUUGCCUUCCGUCUGUGACUCAUUAAGAGACGUGUAACCGUAAUCCUUGGAAUCGCCCGGGAUGGGGCAUGUUUCCACUCAGUGGCAUGAACAUGGGGAUUUUGUUCCCUUCUUAAGUAAAUCUCGCUCCCAGGGGUCUGGACAGGAUGUGGGCAAUUGGACUAGGGCUGGAAACCUGACAUUUUGCAAAAGGCCUCUUUCAAAAUUUGAAACUCUGUGGACCCCAGCCAGGGCUGAGUCUGGCUUGUGGGGUCCCUGGGGCCUCCUCUUGGAGAAGGGAUGGGGGAGCCAAGGCAAACCCCAGCCGUGACUGGGGAGCAGCCCUUCACGGGGCAGAGUUCCAGCUUCGGUUUUGCUGUCUGAUGGAACUGGAGUGUGCUCAGGCCCUUAUUUGCUCCCCUUUCAGACUUUUGGCCAAAGCCACAAGUCCUCCUCAAGCCAGUGGGGGUUGGAGGAGUGAGUGACAGCAGAUGGGACUUUGUUCCAGGAGAGGAGAGGGUGCUCAGGGCUGCCAUGCCCCCAGGAGCAGCACUGGGUGGUACUGAGCAUGAGACCCUGGUGGCCUUGACAGAGAAUAGGAAGAAAGACACCAUGAGAUGAUGUGAGAUGUGCACCAGGUGGAGCACAGCGUUCUCCCUUUAGGCUUGGUGCUGUCUCUAGGAGGGGACACCAGUUCCUCCUUCUACAGACAAGACACUGAGGCCUGGGGAUGGCAGUGCUGACUCAGUGUGCUCUGCUCCUGCAGGUGUCCUGGCUUUGCAGGGGCCACCUGCUACAGAGCAGCUGAGGCCGGAGCUGAGGGCCACAGAAGAGCCUGGAGGGGUGCACAGGUGAGACGUCCCUGGCCCAGCUUUCAGCAUUUGUGCCCUGAAGACAGGCGGUCCCGCUGACUUUAGUGAGUGGACACUGCCCUGCCUCCUAUUCUCUUUGCUUUCCCAGGGCAGAUAGCGUGCGUCUGGGGACAUGUGGUCAGAAGGCUCAGCUGCAAAGGGAGUCCAUUUCAUUCUUACUCCCAAGGAGAGUGCUGGGCUGAGCUCAGUGCCAGACUACACUGAUCCAAAUGAGAGUGGCUACACCAAAGGACCACUGCCCAGCCCAGGACUGGAGCACAGCCUGGGGUACCUCGAGCCUGGGGGAGUGCCGACCGGACCAGGGAGCAGGCCCUGUGGAUGUCCUCCAGCAUGGAGCCCCUGGAGAUGUGGCCGCGAGCCGCUGGCUUCCCAGAGGAUGACGGCCAUGGGUGUAGUAGCACCUCUGCAGGGUGAGCUGUGCUUUUCCUGACUCUUCUCUGCAUGCUGUGUGCCUGUGGCAAGGGCCAGUCGAGGACAUGCGGAGACUGCAGUGGUCCUAGAUGAGCUUUACGCAGGGCCAGAGUGUGUGUGAAUGCCUCCGAGAGGGGCCACGAUCCAUGCGCCUCUCCCGGAGCCUUAGUGUGCAGAGGCUGGGCCAUUUCUGGCAGCUGCUUCUCCAAGUAGAGGCCGUGGCUGGCCAGAGAAGUCCCUCAUCUCUGGUCCCUCCAAGGGGUGGAGGCUCUGCAUCCUUGCAGUGUCCUUUCAAACAGCUUGAGUUGGGGCUCAAGGUCACCUUCUCACCUGUGCCCGAGUCUCCAAUUAUGCAGACAACUGCACUCUGUUAGCUGAUUACAUCACAGAGAACACAAAACACAGGAGCAUUGAGUUUUUCUCAUCAAAGACCCUAAAGCAAUUAGGGUCACAUACAAUAAUGAUUUUAAAUAAUAUAUAUAUUUUUUCUGAUAUCCAAAAAAAUACGUAUUUCUUGCAAAAGCUUAUAAAAUAUUGAGAAGAGCAGUUGGAAGAAUGAGAAUCUUCUUGGUCCCACUACUCAAAGACAACCACUGCCAACAUUUGGUGACCAGCCUCUGUUUUCUUGUUUACUUCUGAAAAUUAGGAGAGUGUGUGUGUGUGUGUGUGUGUGUGUGUGUGUGUGUGUGAUUGAACUCAUCACUGUUAUCCUGUUUCUUUACCUAACUAUACUACUAAGUGGUUUCCUGUUCUGUGUUCCUUAAUGGUUACAGAGCCUUCUAGCUACUGACUGUAUCACAGUCAGCUUCGUGGGUUUGCUUUUGUUGGUAUUAGGAUGCACUUAAAAUCCAAAUUCUGCAGUUCAAGGUGGGCUUCUGUGUUCACCCUCAUAUCUCUGGUUCAUUCCCCGCAGU